This 69961-nucleotide long non-coding RNA is filed under the name Triticum aestivum (bread wheat). Its description in RNAcentral is "long non-coding RNA (TAES_LNC002321)". Lineage: Eukaryota; Viridiplantae; Streptophyta; Magnoliopsida; Poales; Poaceae. The record is from RNAcentral.
UGAGAUCAUGAAUGGCAAACUGGAGGGGCUAAUUUAUGAGUGUGUGUGCUUAUAAAUAGGGUCUCUAGCUAGCUAGUAAUCACAUCAACACAACCACGAGAGAACACUUCCAUUUUUCUAGAAAGAACUUUGAGCCGCAACAUCCGCCUUCCGAUCUUGCAAUGGCUUCCAGCUCCGUGCUUAAGAUGGCCGCCGUUUUCAUGCUGGCCCUAUUCGCCGGCCAGGCGCUGAUGGCUACGCCGGCGAUGGCAGAAGGACUAGGUAACCGACACAACCUUUUGGAGAAGUAUGAUGAGACGCAAUGUCGCGGAUACGCCACAUGCAAUAUUGUAUGCUUCUACCAAGUUUUUCAAGUCUGCAUCAUCUACAGCCCUGUUGCAUUCUGCAACACUUGGGCGUUUGGGUUCUGCAAGGACAAGAGAUACUGAGGCAUAAAUAGCAGUGCAGCUCCUUUUGGGAUGCAUGCACAACUACAUGAGCAACUCACCUCAUCAGUGUCAACUAUUAUUGUUCCUUGGUUAUUCGCGUUGUGCGUUGUAAGAGUCCCAAUAUGUUCCUCCCUUUAUUUCCAACUAUCAUGUAUCCGUUGCUUAACCAACUAUUUAAUUCCUUCAUUGUCUGUCAUCAUGGUACUUGUUCAACUAAAAAUUCCCCGUCGGAUACAAAUGUAUGUGUCGUGUGAUUAUAAAAUGGUUCCGCCCCUGCAACAUUUUUCAAUCCAUGAUGGCCAUAUAAGCAUGCUCUUCCCACCCUUACCCAUGAAUCUUUUUUCAUGAAUGACCAUUCGUUUGACAGAUUUGGCAUGUGGUUCGACAAAAUGCCAUAAAAAAUAAAGGAUGCAAAAAUAUAAUAACGGAGCUUGAAACUGAAUUGGCACUAACCUUGUAAAUACUUUUCGUAGUGGACAAGACAAAUACUACAUAGGCCAUCGCCACACCCAGUUUCGCACGAUCAUUGCAGAUGAUGCGAUGUUUGACAACAUAUACAUUCUAAACGGACACUCAGGGCCCAUAGGGUGACUAGCGUUGCUUCCGUGUUAAUCCGGGCCCAUAGGGUACAAUUUCUUCUUCUGUGAGUCCCUAUCAUGAUGAACCCACUUCAACUGCCGUGAUUGCGUUGGCUUUCAGGGACCGAAUACAUCGAGUCGGGGUUUUCGAGCGUUGUCUCCUUAUUUACCUUGAGUACCCCAAACCCAUUGAGGUCGCUUGCCGACGCUCUCUAGGAGUCGUCCAGGUUCUUGGGUCAUCCUUCUUCUGGCUAGAGUCGCUUUGGCAUCGAUCCUUUGGACAUUUGCUUCAAUCCCCCAAGAACGUCUUUCACUGCCCCUACCACAGAUGCUACCGAAAAGAGUUCCGGCAUUGAGCAAGUAUUUUCUUGGACUAUCCUUAUCAAACAUCUCUCAUGCCUCAUUGUACCUUUGAAAACUGAAAUUAUAUCCAGGUACGAUAGAUCUGUGGGAAGUCAUUCCUUUGCCUCAGAAAUCCGCAAUUCCCUGAUCAAAAAUCCUAUUUCCCGCUCCUCUAGUUUCUUAAACCAGCACUGUUUCCUUUUCCAGCAGGGAUACUCCCGAAAAACGGGCUUCCAUUCAAAGUGGAAAGAAAGAGACCGGUCCGUUCUCCCUCUUUGCCUUGCGGUUGAGUAGAUUGUAGAGCCCCUCCCAGGCCUCGCAACCAAGAGUCACUUGUCGAAAGUUGACCAGGAAGACAAUAACUAUCGAGGCUGGAAUAGAUAGAUGAAACUCUAAAAUGUUUCACCUUCUUCUAUGGUCAUUCUUAUUUGCAUGAAGCUCUCACAUGUAAGCUUCGUCAGGCUUGUGGACAUCACAACGCCCAUUCAAAUGUAUCUCUUCAACAUGCAAGCACUUUGUUAGGGCCGGUGGUUUUUUGGAAGUGGGUACACUAUUUACGCCUCCAUGGAAUCUGGCUAGCUUGAAGGAUGACCUCGAGUUUCUCCUGGCACCCCGCUAGGCAUGAUCUAUGGUUUUCUCCUCAUUCCCAGUGAUGUCAUAAAUGAUUGGGACCGUUCACCUAGAACGGAAAAUCAUUGAAGGGGACUGAUGAAGAAGUUGGGCGUUUCCUAAAUUCCAUUGCGAGAGUGGUUUUUUUACACCAGGGGGCGUUCCACCUACAUUGCACCCAUGAUAAUCACUAAAUUCAACAAAAAAUAGCUAAAUAAUUUGAAUUUGCAGGCUCGGCUAUGACCAAUUGUUUAGGGUGCUUAUUUGGUGGCCAAAUGACAUCCGAGCAGCUCUUUACAUAAAAAAUAUAUCAAAUUUUGUCCUGAAAGUUAUGUACGCAUAGUUUGAGCAGAAGUUGUAUUUUGUAUAUAUGAAGCUCAUUUUAUACUAUUUGGUCACCAAACUAUGCAAGCACCUAAAACACUUGUUCAAUAAUGCCCCAAAGUUUUUUUAUUUGUAAUGAUUUACUCUUCAGCGUGGGUAAAUUGCACUUUGGUGUAGCCACAACUUUUCCUUCCCAUCCGUAUAUCUGAUGGUACCAAUCUCGAGGUACCGGUCGGGAGUUUUUAGCUAGAAGGAUGUGUCGAUCGUGACAACAAGGUCAAAUUGAUGCAGGGGUACUAUCCUAGGGACGAUGCCAUUAGGAGUUGCUUUUGACGAUGAUCCUUUUGACCGAGUAUCGCAAUACAGAAACAUUGCUACAUUAACAUACAUGAAUUUGUAUGACAGUGGGAAGUAACAUCAAAUUAUGAAAAUGACACAGGGAGACAAUCUUCCCCUUUCGGCCCCCAUGAUGCGAAUAACAACCUUACUCCUACUUGUCUAGAAUUAUAUGUACCAACAGGUAUAGUGUGUGUGACAGGGGGGGGGAUCCAGUGAGCCUUGUGCACUAAGUUUCUAGCACAUUUGGUGACUCGUCUUGACUAGAUGUCCAAGUUCAGAUCUAGUUUAGGCUUGAAGCUAGGGCUUCCAUUCAGUCAUCUUGGCCCUCCAAGCCGAAGUUAUCAUCUCUUGUUCAUGGCGCUAAUGUAUUUAUAUGGUCUAGGGUCAGUUGGGCGCCUUGCUUUCCUAGCCUCGCGUUCAUGAAAAGCUUGAUAAUUUCACUAUCAUGACAUGUCCUCCCUCCUUCCAAGGAGUUACAGAGGUUACCCGUCGUCCUAAUUGCACUCCUAGGAGUGACUCUCCAUUGGAGUGGGUUUGACAUUCGCGAAAGUUUCCUUCAAGCUUACGCGACAUAGCAUGGGCCCGAUCCACCUUUUGCCUACAACAUAUGACCUGCCCCGACACUACAUCUUCACCCAUGGUGAGUAAACAACUCCUUGGUUGGCCGCUCCACCUAGAUACGUGUCGCCAAAAGCAACUCCCGAUGAUCCGGUAGUUGAAGUGACGACCAGAUCUGAACCCCGUGGAUACUUGAACAUAUAACUUGGAGAGGAGAAUAUAUCUUCUUUCAUCAAAUAUCACUUUAUUUCUACAUAACUACAUUGACUAUCAAAUUUUGCAUUCGUUAUAUAUUUAUCUCAAAUUUUGCUAAAACCAAAAUAUUUUUUAAUACACAUGAAAUUUCCAUGUAACAAUUUGCGUAAAACAUCAUCUACACAACUAAUGAAUCAACUGGGAUGCAACAUGCAUAUAUCUAAUUAGCUCGUGGUAAUUGUUUAAAUAAGUCAAGUUGAAUCAAUGAUAAUAAAAACAAAAUAAGAAAUUAAUUAUAAAAUAUUUCAAUAUUAAUUAAUGUGGAUGACAGGCAUAAUGUAACCAUGACUCCUUGAUAGGUAGGUAGAACAAAGGCAGGGUUGAUUUUAUAUACGUGUGUUGCUUCCGAUAAUUUACCUGUCGGCAAACAGAAAGAACAAUGAUAGAUCAAACUAUGUGCUUUUGGUUAUCAGUCGGCAAACAGAAAGAACAAUGAUAGAUCAAACUAUGUGCUUUUGGUUAUCAGCAUACGCGAAACACAAUUGAAGAAAUGUAAUGAUGGUACCCCAUGAGACGCUUUCCUAGGUGAGUAAUUUAUGAUCUUGAGAUGCCCUUUACACACUUACGUAAGUUGACAACUAACUCUAUAAUGCCAUUAAGACUUGAACACUAUUGUUGUGUACUAUUUUUGACUUAAUAAUGAAUCAUUGUGCCAUGGUGGUAGUAUAUUUUAGACUCGGAUCAUGGCAUGCACAAUGAUCAUCUAUCGAUUUUUAAUUAAGUGCUAAAGUAUGUGGUGGCAAUAUAUGGAACUAGCUGCUAGAGAUUCGCAACAUGCAAGGGAGUACUACAACAUCAAUUAUUUCAUGCAUGAUGAGAUUGAGCUUACACAAUCUCGUAUUAUCAUGCGUCUACUUUUGAAAUAUACAUAAAAAAGGAAGUAAAACUUGUAGGAAAAAUUAUUGGCUGGUCAAAUAAUUUCAUUCUUCUGGAAUGUAUGACCAUAUUAACACUACUAGGGAAAAGCCUAGCAGUUGCGCGGGUUUUUGGCCUACCCGUAGCGCGGGUGGCAGCGCAACUAGUAAGGCGCUACAGCUAAAGGUUUGUAGUAGUGUGGGUUUACCCGCGCUACUGUUAUAUCCACUUAGUAGUAGUGCUUCCUGGAAAGGGCGCUACUGGUAAUUACUAGUAGCGCUUCUCGCAGCCCGCGCUACUACUAUUAUUCUGUAUUAUAUUUCUUUUUUAUUUCAUGUUGUAUUCGUACACCUCUAUACAAGUGUUCAUACAAAGCAAUUUAGAGAUUGUUUUUACAUCAUAAUGAGUUAUUACAUCACUGGGUGAAAGAACCGUGGACUAGUUUCAAGUGGAUGGACAUCCACUUGAUAUUAAUCCGCGGUUCUUUCACCCAAUGAUAUAAUAAAUAUUGUCAUAAUCAUAUCAUUAAUAACUUAUCAUCCUAACACAUCAUUGUCAUUUAACACCUCCUCAUGAUCAUCAUUUUCAUCAAUGAGACAUCAUAUAGCAAGUUGGUCACUAGUCAUAAUCACAACUCCUCCUCCUCAUCAUCAACUCUAACACACCGUAUCACAUAAUAACACAUUGUACCUAGGACCUACUUCUCUCUCAUAGGACCUACUACCUUCUCUUAGGUAAAAUAGCAUAAAACAAGAUAGGCCUUGACUCUCCAUUAUGGAGAAUGGAGAUUAUCUUGUCUCCAAUUAUUGCCCUUCACAAAAUGUUGCUUCCAAGUAGCGCCCUACGAUUGACCAUACAUUUUCUCCGUUCUUUGAUUGUCAUGUCUUCAUUGGUUUUAGAAAUUCGAUAUGGACAGGAGUGAUUCGUAGGAUGACCUGGCCGUAUGUUCAAAACAUCAAGGAGACCUUUCUGAAACAACAGAUGAGGCACAGAAUCCUUCGGGAUUUUCUGUUGAAAAACAUAGUACCUCCACCGAUUUGGGGCGGUUCUUUCGGUUCAGGGGUACCACGGGCAUUUCGCGUGUCGGGAUUUCACAGGAGUUGGGAGUUUUCGCGCGCGUUGUAAUUUCGGAAUAGCAAGACGCGGGUUGACAUGAAGGGAGUUGUCGGAGCACAACGAGACAAGUAUAUAUCUUAAAUAUUUCGGACUAACAAGACGCGGGUUGAAAUUUCCGGACAAGCCUUGUACCGUACCAAAUCAAUGCACAUUACAAAUGUCAUUGAAAACUUUGAAUUCAUGUUAUGUUUAAUUAAAAUAGUUUGCUACGUGUAUAAUGCAUGAAACCUACUACUCAAAUGAACGUUUUAGUGCAUUCCAACGUAUAUACUACCGCUUCAAUAUGAACAAAAUUUAAAUUCGUUUCUCUAUUUGAAUAAGAUCUACAGUAAUGAUUGUUGUGAAGUCAAAGCAUUUGAAUUCGUUUCUCUGUUUUAAUAAGAUCUACAAUCAUCAUUAUUGUCAAGUUAAACCAUCAUUUGUGUAUUAUCUUCACAUCACACCACAUGAUUAGUCUCGAGUUACAUAUGAACUAUGUGUACUAUAUGAACUCGAACUCGAUUUUUUGAAUCCACUUUAUGUUGAUUUCAAAUCACAUUACAGUUCUAGCUCUAGCUAGAUCUUCAUAAUCUAAACCAUGUCUCAUAUGUAUAAUGUGUUUAUCACAUUAUGUAUGGUGCCCCGCCCCUACGCCUACAAGUAUUUAGAUGUGAGUUGCAAACACCACACAUUACCACAAAUUCAAAUAAAAUGUGAGAAUGUUCGAUAUAUAGUAUUGUUUAGAUUGUUCGAUAUUUAGUUGUAAGCUGCAAACGCCACACAUUAUCACAAAUUCAAAUAAAAUGUGAGAUUGUUUGAUGUAUAGUAUGAUUUAGAUUGUUCGACAUCUAGCUGUGAGUUGCAAACGCCAUGCAUUAUCACAUUAUGGUAUAACAUGUGCACAACGCGUGUAUCACCGCUAUAUUCAUGCAUCCAUAGGUUUAAAACACUAUGAUCUCCUAUUCAAAUAUAUGAAUCUGCUUUCAUAUCAAAUUAUGAUCUUUGUUAGUCUCUUACACCCACACAAUCCUCUAACAUUUGUAGCUACCACUAACUUUCUCUCGUGCAUGCACACACCCUCCUCACCCUCCCCCUCCCUUGGCAUUCUAUCCACCGGGCACAUUCAUUUUUUUUCUUUAGCUCGUUCUCCCAGAGUCUCCACAACUCCCUUCCGACACACACUGAUCGAUAAACCUGUCCAGCGAUGCCUUCCUACAAGAUACACACGCACCUUCAAUCUCCUCCUUUAUGUGUCCUUGCCUCGUGUCUCUCAUACGCUCACACACACGUGUAAACUCUCGCCCAUCUUCUCAUCAAUCUCACAACCGCACACUCCUCCCCCUAUCUAGCUAGUAGCUGGGCCUCUCGCACCACCUCCUAGCUCCAUUCUCUCUGUCUACCCGUCUCACUUGGCCUUAUUUGCCUCUAACAAAUGGACAUACACCGACCGAUCUCCCGCUAUACAUAUAUCUAGCUAGGUCCUUAUAACUCGUUUUUACCCAUGCUCGAUCGAUCUACCUCAUUAGUUAUGUCUCUCCCUUCCUCCGACAAACAACAAUUGAUCUAACAAUCUAGUUAGGUUUGCUUACCAAAUACAUGGUUCCCCUUCAUCAUCCAUGGAUGUGUCCAGACAGAUCUAUCACGCACAGGCACACACAGAAACACAUUCCCGCUCUUAUUGAUAAGAUGCAGUUCCACACUCAGUUUGUCUAGUAGGCCUCUCCCACCAUCUUCAAGACGCAACUCCAUCACACAUCCAGCACUCUACCCCUCUCCCUCCCUCUCUAUCUCCUCUCUCUCUCUCUCUCUCUGUCCCAUCAUAUUUCCCGUCCUUCAGUUAUGUAUGGAUGUCAACCGAUCUUCCUCAAGACAUAGCUGGGUCUCUCCUUCUCAGCACAUAUACGAGUCGUUCUACCUCUAUAGUUAGGCCUCUGCCUACCCCUCCCCCCACCCCCUCCGCCCCCACAUACCGAUACAUCGAGCGCUCUAGUCAUGUCUCCCUGCCACACACAAACUUCACAUGUUNNNNNNNNNNNNNNNNNNNNNNNNNNNNNNNNNNNNNNNNNNNNNNNNNNNNNNNNNNNNNNNNNNNNNNNNNNNNNNNNNNNNNNNNNNNNNNNNNNNNNNNNNNNNNNNNNNNNNNNNNNNNNNNNNNNNNNNNNNNNNNNNNNNNNNNNNNNNNNNNNNNNNNNNNNNNNNNNNNNNNNNNNNNNNNNNNNNNNNNNNNNNNNNNNNNNNNNNNNNNNNNNNNNNNNNNNNNNNNNNNNNNNNNNNNNNNNNNNNNNNNNNNNNNNNNNNNNNNNNNNNNNNNNNNNNNNNNNNNNNNNNNNNNNNNNNNNNNNNNNNNNNNNNNNNNNNNNNNNNNNNNNNNNNNNNCCACCCCAAAACAAAAAACACUCACGAACGCGAUUUGUAUCUCUCACAUACACCCACGUUAGUGGGGGACGUGCACGAAGAGAAUAGGUGCAUGCAUGGCGCACGUACUCCCGUCUCUUUCCCAACCACACCCGCGCGGGUACACGGUGGAUCUCAUUUCUUUAUGAAAAAGGCAGCCAACAUGGUAAUUUUGCAUGUGUACUGGUUGUCCACUUGGUGGAGGGAGGAUCGUCUACCACAGGUGAACAAACAAAUUGAGACUUGACGCGUUAUGUUAAAAAAAGAGGCAAACCAUGUGGGGCCUACCUUAGAGGCAAGGCUCUAUACACCGGAGUACUUUUGAUGGGUCCCGUCAACUCGCAGAACGAGAAGAAGCUUGCUUAGUACGCCGUCUCCCCCGCCCACGGGCGCGGUGGUGUACAGUCCGCCUCAUGCCUUCUCCCUCGCCCAUGCGCGCGAUGGCUCGUAGGACGAGGAGAAAAAUUUACUACUCCCUCCAUUUACUCCUCGUCCCUACUACCUUGGUUAUAGAGAUAAUAUCAUAUUGUUUGGAAUAUAUAUGUCCUUUAGUAGAUUUCAAUAUGAACUACUAGUACAUACUCCAAAUACUGAUGUCUAUAGACGUAUUUAGAGUGUAGAUUCACUCAUUUUGCUCUAUAUGUAGCACUCUCCCUCGCCCCUCGCCCAUCGCCCAUGUGGUGGACGUGCAGCAAUUCAUCCGGUCUCAUAUAGCCAGAACGAUAUAUACUGCACUACCUUUAUUGCUCGACUUCCCGAAGAGGCGAAGAGCCAAUCGCAAGGUUACAGGAGAACGAGUAGUAGGUGCCGCAUCAUUUAUAAAUAAAGUUUUUUUCUUCAGUGGCACGUACGCAAUAUGAUAGUAGGUUCAUAUGGAGAGAAAAGGAAACCGCUCCACUAUAUACAUAGUCAGGACGGGCCACCCUACACAGUUGCUUGCUGGGGUUGCUCUCUUCACACUCUCUCUCGCACAAAAUGACUGUGGCCACAUAUCUAACAUCCCGGUGGAUCACGUCCACCGGGGGAAGGGGUGGAUGCUUAGUGUAGAUGCGGUCACCGUCACCGACGGCGAAAACCCACUGUCGGCACGUCCUGAUCAGGGCUCCCCGCCGUUCUCUCUCACAAAGCCGGUGAGGUUGCCUUCGUCCCUUGCUCACUGCCGCGACGUGGGCAGUGGCCGCCUCCUGCCGCCCUCCUCAAGGUUGAGCUACGUCCCUUAGGUACAACUCCCUUUACAGUCGGCUUGCACCACUGCUCCAGCUGCCCACAUCACUCCAUGUGGAUAUUUCUCUACUUCUUUGCCCCGAACAUGCCUCUACUGGAUUCUACAUACUGUAUUUGUGAUGAGUUUGUGUCUCAUCAACUAGUCCCAGUAAUCUUAUUCUAAUCACGCUUCUUCAAUUUCUUUGCCACAGGGAUGCUCAUCUCGAUUUUGGUGAAACUGCACAAAAUGAUCCGAUGGUCAAAAGGUUGCAAACUUCAUUUCUUAGGAAGCUCGAACGUUGCCAGCAAAUUGAAGCCUGGUUAGGGUUCACGGUUCAAGGGCUAGGGACUGCAUGGAUUGUUUUUUUCUUUAGCUGCCCCUGUUCCAAAAUAAGUGUCAACUUUAGUAGUAGUACAACUUUGUACUAAAGUUUGCAUAAAGUUGAGACACUUAUUUUGGAACGGAGGGAGUACAUAUUUGCUAUGAUCUGUCAAUCAUUGAGAUGCAAUAGCAUGGAUGUUAGUUUCCUUUGUAUUUGAUGAAAUGUUGCAACGGGAAACCUUGGACGCAAGAUACAUGUAACAGAAGCUGGAAGCUUCAUAGCAUUGUACAGAUUUAUCUCGCUGCUCAAUUACAGUACGUACUAUACUAGUACUUCCACCGUUCCCAAAUAUAAGUCUUUUUAGAGAUUUCACCAUGAACCACAUGCGGAUGUAUAUAGAUGCAUUUUAAGUGUAGAUUCAUUCAUUUUGUUCCGUAUGUAGUUCACCUAGUGGAAUCUUUUCAAAGACUUAUCUACUCCACUUCUAGGAAUUCUCUAUCCUCUCCCUGAGCCACAUCAUCAAACAUAAUGUAGCCGUUAGAUGAACUAAAUCAGUCCAUAAUAGCCUUCUGAUCUAGACGUUGAGAGGCUUCGCACUAAGCCACAUGCAAGCAUGCACAAAUACCGUGGUAUGCAUGUGAGUGGGUUUUAAAUCACAUCAACAUGUCUGCACGCAAGCAUGCAUCGGUAGCUUGCAUAUAAGUGAGCUUUUAAGUUCCAUUAACAUGUCAAAAAGAAAAAUAUAAUCCCAUUAUGCAGUAGGAGUUGGCUGAUCUUUUUUCCUUACGUAGGAUGAUCUAAAUGAUGAUGGGAGUUUUUUUUAGUUUGGCUACCAAAUUUGUUAUGCGGUUAUAGAGUUUUUUUAGUUCUAUGAAAUCGAUAAUUUUACGCUGAGAGAUAUACGGCUGUUCCGCGGCAACGCGCGGGGACUCAUCUAGUAUUUAGGAACGGAGGAGUACUAUGUAAAGAGUUAAGUGUCGCACGGUGCCUAGAAAAUAUGGUGAUAAUGUGAGGUGGGCCAUGUAAUCAUUGAGCCUGCGUGUUUUCACUGCUCUUGCACUCCCCCACUGUAAGAAUGGAGAAAAUUGUAAUCUAGUAGUACAUCCUUUCGUCGAAAGCAUGGGACAUCCAGCAGUCCUACCACCUCAGUAAUAAAGACCAAUGAGCUGUCAAAUCACAUAGACCCAGCAGUAAGUUGGACCGACGAAGCAACCAUCACUCUUGGGCCAGUGAGAGAUCGCGUCCGCUCUGCCCGGGCAUGAAUGCAGCACCAAUUCUUUGGAGCGGUGCUGACCGUUUCAGGCGGGAAGCGCGCGCGGGCGAUGGAGGGGCUUUGGGUGGGCCAGGCUGGUCAGGAGCGGGCAUGGCAGUUGUCCGCGUGUCCUUACCGGACACGCCCGAAAACGAGAGGAUGCACCGACUCUCGUGGCUAAAAUCGUACACUACACACCAUCUCUCUGUAGGAUUAGGUUGAUCUGUCACUCUCUCUAACACACACAUGCUGUUAAACACACACACACACACACACGCACAUGCACGCACUUUGGUUCCGGUGCACCUUCUAACGUGACUUAUUACACCUAGAUGGACGGAGUAGUAAGUACGAGAUACGGUGGAACACUGACUUAGGUCGAAUACAAGUGCCCAAAAUUUUGUGCAUGUUAUAAUAAGGAUUCACUUAAAUUGUACGUGAGCGAAUAGAGGGAUCAAUUGGACAGUGUUCCUGAGCAGUAGCGAGAUGUGUAUGGUAAGAUACAUUGCUGGCGCUUUUAUUUUUCUUAUUAAUUUGUUUGUUUCACCCUCUGACUGGUGGGACUCAAUGUACUACAUGGAGAGAUGUAAGGUGACUAAUUGUGCAUUAUUUCUGCACCUCUAUUGAUUGUCUUACAACCAAAGCCACAUGACGCGAUUAUAAUUUAAAUCCCAAUGACUCCCACACACAAAAAAACCGGCAUGCUUGUCACACGAAUGCAGGAAUGCAUAAAAGGUUAUUUUCCGCUCGUUGAACAUAACGGGAGGUUUGUGUAGCUGGUUAGCCUGUUGCUCAUCAAACUUGGGGUCUCGGGUUCGAUAACUACACUUGAGCAUAAUUUGUGCCAGGAGGAUUCUUUGACUGGUCAAAAUGGAUGGAUACGGAGGUAUACGAUCUCGUAUUGACCGUAUAAUCACCUCAUCACGUAUAAGUUGCAGCCUCGGUGCUUGUUUUCUAGGGUUUGCACACUUCACACUCUCUCUCCAGUAUGUAUAUACAUGCUGGAGCCUCAGCGCUUGUAGUUGCUCUCUUCACAGUCUCUCACCCUCUCCAGAUCUAAACAAGACUUUGUUGGCCUCUCUCUCCCCUCACUGCUACUCAAAGAGCCGGCAGCAUCCGUCCUCCGGGAAGGGAAGGAGGCUUAACGCUGUCGCCGUUGGCGAGGGAGGGAAUCCACUACCAGUGUAGCUGUUCACUUUCACCCAGCGGCGGCGCGGGAGGGCCUCCGACCCCUUCUUCUUCACUGUCAUCCCGUCGCCCACCGAACCACGCCCCAAGAACCUUAAGGUAUAAUUGACUUAUUCCACAUGCAUUGCUCUAGAUGCAUAUAUACCAUGAAUCUAGGACGUGGUUCAAAGAGGAAAGGAGUGGGGGAAAGUAGUGGGAAAAGUUGUAUAGCAUGAAUCUAGGACGUGGUUCAAAGAGGAAAGGAAGGGGAGAAGUUGUAUAGCAUGAAUCUAGGGCGUGGUUCAAAGAGGGAAGGAAAGGGGAAAGUUGUAUAGCAUGAAUCUAGGAUGUGGUUCAAAGAGGAAAGGAAUGAGGGAAAGUAGUGGGGAAAGUUGUAUCACAUAAGUCAAGGACAUGGUUCAAAGAGGAAAGGAAGGGUCGAAAGUACUAGUACCGACUGGCUAUCCAGCACCUACGUUGGUCGAAAAGGGAAAACAAUGACAAACACAGUACGCACAUAUGUAACAAACUGAUCUUUUGUUUUGGGGGACAAGGCUGUAGAGUUUGAGCAGGACUAGAUUUGGUGCGCUCACAUAGGGAAAGGUGUCUAAAGAUAACAAAACUGGGACCAACACAAAUAUGCUCCUUGGUUGUUUGUUCUUUGUUGCAACAGACUAUGCAUGACCACAUUACAUCGGUAGUUGCGCAUGGUGCUGGUGCGUCCACUGUCCCGUGCAACUCUUUAGUUGUUGUUAAUCUAAGGCCCUGUUUGGUUAAAAACUCCCUAGUCCCUACCUGCUUGGUUCCAGGGACUAAACAUUGACUAGAGGUUAUUAAAUGACAUGCUAAAAGACCAUGUUACCCCCAGUAAUGACCUAAUAGAGACAAGGUGCGAUGCGUGGCAGGGGCAACUCUUGGAAAAAGUCCCAAAAAGACUCCUCGGGGUCUUCUUUCGUUAGUCCCAAAUGCCCAAUUUUAGUCCCUAAAAGUCCCUCUUGUUUGGUUUAGAGGGACUGACACAGAGUUAUUUUGUCCCUACACCAAAAUGUCCCUAUAAACAAACACCCUCUAAUAAUGCCGUUGGAAAAUUGAUGCAAUGCCACAGUUAAAAGCAAAUUACAUGUUUAAUGAAUUUUAUUGUUAAUAUAGUCUCUAUGUUAAUAUUAAUCAAUGCCACCGUUUGAGAAAUACUACUAUCUUGUUUUCUUUCCCAUUUAGAUAAGGUAGAUGCUUCUUUUUGUUGGCUUCUGUGUCAUCCAUCGUUAUUGACCACUAGCUUCCUUCACACCUCUGUGUAAAUAGGGUUAUCUACUUCACCUCGUUUCCAUUGUGACCUUUUGUUGCACUGCACAAAACACUUUUGUUUUAAGAGUGUUUUGUGCAGUUCAAGCAAAAUGUCACACCGACAAUGUUGCAUGAUUGCUUGAUCUUAGUGGAACUGCACAAGAGGAGAUCUUACUUCCUAUCCAUGCCGGCAAAUUUGGUUCAGAUCUUCUUCUUGUGAGUUGUUUGAAUUCCGCAUCAUGAGAGGUCAGUACUAGCCUUAUUUCACAUGAUUCUCCAGUGUGCUUUCAUAUGUUGUGCUACUUGUAUGGUAACGUUGCUUGAUUUUAGUGACUGCACAUAUGGAGACAAGACAUCCAAUAUGUAUGUGCACCGUAAUAUCCCAUUGAGGUAAGUAAGGAUAUUUCACAACUGUUGGCCUGAAUUUUGCCACUUUCAUCGGAAAAUUAAUGUCAUUGUUUAGUGUUAUACUUGUGCUCCCUAAUUUACAUGCCAAAUGUUACAUUGAAGGCGAAGCUUUUCUGUUAUUGAACCAAGUGAUGAAGGGGAAGAACAAGCGAAAGAAAAAUAAAAAUCAACUCCCGGUGCUGUAAUGAAUCACUGGAACUGUGAUGACACAAGUAAUGAUAUAGUUUUGCAUCUUAAUUUAUUGCUAUGGCUGGAACGAGCAAUUGUUUUGCCACUGAUUUGAUGCCACUCUUAAUGUAAUACGUAAUUAUUUCUACUUGUGCAAACAGGGAUCUUCUUUGAAGAUACCAUAUAUUUUAGUGGAACUGCACAAGAAGAUGUUGGAAACAUUAAACUAACCGCGGAGUAUAUAGUAAGCAUGGCCACCACAGUAGAUAGCAGCAGAUGGUUCCAGAGAAGUACUUCAUCUGUAUUCUCUACAAAUAAGCCUCGUGACAAAGGUUGGUACUCGCCCACUGAUUUCAUCCAUAUGACUGAGGUUUGUCAUCUCUAUUGGUGUUGUGCUACGGUUUAGACACUGUCAUGAAAAAGUGGUAUUGUCCUUGAGAAGUGCUUCAUCUGUGCUAUUUUAAAUAUUUCCUUUCCUUUUUUUCCGAGCAAACUGGGAUGCUAGCAUUUAGUUGUCCUCUUGUCUUUGCACAACGGGAUCAUCUUCCUCUGAAGAAGAAUAUAGAGUACGUGAAGUGACUAGUUCCGAUUAUGCCAGGAUGAAAAAGCCCUAUCUAUCAUCUCAUCAGAAGGAGCAGUUGAAGGAUGGUUACAUUACUCCCCACAAGACCAAACUAACUUCAGCUCAGAAGGACUGACAAAUCUCCAUUUUCUUGCUGUGAUGCGCGAGUACAAUGUUGUUCUAGGAUUCUUUGUGGUGAGUUCCAUUUUUCUAAAAGCGUGCUCUACAUGGACCAUGCAGGUGCAUGUUUAAACUGUCAAUUCAUAGUACAAUUUGCUUUAUACUAAUCACUUUUUUUGUAUUUAUUCAAACAGGGGUGCUCAGCUUGAUUUCAAUGGGAACUGCACAAAAUGUUCAUGAAUACAUCGAAUCAUUCAUUUCCACCACAAGAAAGGAGGUGCCGAUAAGUUCAAGGCGUUGCAACAUAUAAGGGCGAAAUCAUACAAGCUAUGCAUGAAUUUGGUUGAUUUUGGUGGAACUGCACAAAAAGAACAGCUGGUUUUUUAGCACAAAGAAUAGAUACUUUGACUGCAGACAAAACUUUGCAAACCCUGGUGGCAAACCCUGCCCAUUAUGACGGCAAUGCCAUCAGUUCCAUUUUGGUGGAACUGCACAAAAAGAUUUGUCAAAGUAUAGAUACUUUGACUGCAGACAAAACUUGUAUGCCGACUAGAAAGGACCGGAGGCAGUACAUGUGAAACUGCUGCAAACGAGGUGAUCACCCUGGGAAUAAUGCUAGUACGUAUUGUUUUGCAUGUUCAUCUAAUGCCAGUGAUACAGGAAUUUGAACUAAUCGAAAUAAAUUCAUUCAUACACGAUCGGAUUUCAUAUAAACAUGCCAGAUUUCAUUACAUUUCAUACAUUCUUCAACUAAAAAGGGGUGCGCUGGAGGUAGAAUUAAUUAACCGAAGCUACCACCUGUGUCCCGCUGAGCCGAACAGAAGCUUCAGUGACUUAACUGCAGGUGCAGUUGCGUAACUGACAUGUGGCCUCUUGGGCCCACGUGUUAGUCAGCAAACUGCACCAGCAGUUAAGUAGAAGCAGCAUUCUUGUCCAACACAGCUCUCCGACUCCACGUCACCGCCAAGAAGCUAACCGGCCGUGAAUGGUCAGCCCGCCUAGCUUGGCUUCAACCGGAGGGUAGCAGCGGUGGCCUUACUUGGACCUGAGCGGCGGCAACCUACCGUGUUCUACUCUUCCUCGUUUUCUGUGUGGCGCGGCCUCGUUGGCAGCGGGGCGGGGCCUCGGUGGAGCCGGCGAUGUCCUCUGUCUUGUUGCUGGCGGCGGCGCCUCGGUGUGGCGGUGGAAAUCCUCCCCCUCAUUGCCGACAGGGUGGGGCUUCGGUUGAGCCGGUGAUGUCCUCUGCCUCGUUGUUGGCGGGACGGGGCCUCGGUGGAGCCGGCGGUGUCCUCUGCCUCAUUGUUGACGCUACGGGGCCUCGGUGGAGCAGGGCCUCAUCAACGCCAGCGGAGCGGGCACUCGUCAGAGCCGGCAUUGUCCUCUGCCUCAUCCUUGGUCUCGCCAAACAGCGCCUCGCCCGCUUUAUCGCCCUCUUUGUAGGCGGCCGCAGCCUCCGCCACCCGCAUGCGGUACCGCCAGCGCUCGAGGCGGCCGUCGCGGGUGGAGCGGUAUGAGUCGAGCAGCGCCUCCUGCUCCUCCCACUCCGUGGAGAUCUGCUCCUCCGCCCGCAGGUGCUCCAGAGGAGAUGGUGGUUGUAGGCAGCGUCGACCUGCGCCUCCCGGAACUGCUCGUCAUGCAUCUACCUCACCGUGUCCAUAUAUUGGGCACGGUCCUCGCCGAUGGUCAUGGUGCAAGGCACCGGCGAGGAUGGCACGGAGGAGGGUGUGGGCGCUGGAUCGUCGACUACCAUUUUCUCCAUUGGGACAUCGUCGUCCUCCGGCUGCCUGUCGGCCAGCCGGUCGGCAGCAAUGGCUGCCAUCUCCUUGCAGUCCAUCUUCCCCCCAUCCGGAAGAGCGCUGGAGCGCGAGGAAGCCAUGUUGGGCAGUAGUGGUGUGCAUGGGAGAAAGGGAACAGAUGCGGAUGACUGCGACUAUGUCCGGCGUAGCAGUUUAUAUAGCAAUGGUGGGCGGCGGAGGGACGGACGUGUGGCGCCGGAGUAGCCGCCUCGGCAACCGAGUAUCAUUAAUGUGGGCGGAAGAUGGACGGACGAAAGGUAGUUGUGUCAUUUGAAGGCGGAGCAAUCGCCUGCACCGGGAAGCGGGGCGGGAGGCACUGACUGUUUCGGUCGGAAAGCGCGUGCGGGCGAGGAGAUGACUUUACUUGGAGAGGAUGACAAUGGGGACCCACCAGGGCCAUAGCCUCACGUACACAAGUGCCUCCUUAUUAUAUAUAUAUAUAUAUAUAUAUUUGCUUCCUCCUUGUUUCCUGACAUCACGGUCCCACACCAUUGUCAACAUAUGUAGUCAAUAAACAAGAGAAUUGCACAAGAAGCGGCCGACAGUUGGGACCAAACAGCUCGAGCAAUAUUUGUGUUUUUGAGGUGUGAGCACUGCACAGCUUUUCGAUGUUUAGCCCAGAUAUUAAUUUUUCUCCUCUGAACAACAACAAAAAACAUCGCUGCAGGCAUUAACUGGGCGGUCCGUGGCCCGUCUAGCCCAGGCCAGAUAUCCAGCCAAGAUAUUAAUUUUUUUCAAGCUGAAAAGGGCUAGCCACCUAUACUUUUUUUAGGAAUACCCAGGCAAGGUCAAGUUGUUAUUAUCCGUCCCGCUGGGCUGUAAAUCUUUCCUAUGAGGGAUGCAUUAGGCUUACUAAGAAAAUGAGCUUUAAGAAAUAAUAAAUGAGAUGUAAUUAUAAAAACUGGGCAGUAACUAUAAAAAAAUGCACCAAACACGUAAUUACUUUAUAAAAUAUUAUUUUUGGAUAUUGAAAAUUUUAAUUUCAUUAAUUGUUGCGAGCGCAAUGUGUCGUUGGAUUUUUACGUAAUAUAAAUUUAUAUGGAAAUUGUAUUUAAUCUGACUAGAAAUUUCGGGAUAAAAAUAUUUCUGAUGCCAUCAAAAUGUGGGAAAUUUUAUUGAAUUCUGGUUUGAACGGUUUGUUGAAAUGGGCUAUACUUUUAACAAACUUUAAAUGGGCUGUUGUAAAUUCCAUUGUAAUUCAAAAAUGGGAUGCACAUUCUUACAAAUCUCAAAUGGGCUAUAAGUUCUCUGCCACACACUUGUGGCCUUACUAAGUUGACGCGUCCCCUAAAAAAAGAUAGUUGACGCGUAUGCAAGGCUUUGUCAACUUAUAGUCAAUACAUGGUUCUAGUAGCAGUGGCCAUUGGAUGUCCAUCCAACGGAUGCCGUGCUUCUUCUUCAACUUCGGAUAUUCUAGCUUCACCCGCCCAAAAAAUGAUUCCUCCCCCUGACAUCUGGGGUGCACUGUUUUGGAAGCUGACCUGUGGGCCUAAUAAGUUGACGCGUACCAAGGGCUUUGUCAACUUAGUCAAUAUAAACGAUUCUAGCUGCAGUGACCGUAUGAUGUCCAUCCAACGGCCGUCGUGCUUCUUCAACCUCUAGUCUUCUUGCUCCAGCCACCCAAAGCAGCGCCGGUUGUGUCGCCUGCUCCUGCCUCCCGUGGCAGGUCGUGUUGCCUGCUCCUGCCUACCGUGGCCUCACCGUCCCCUACUACUCCCACCGCUAGCCAGGCCAUCCCUCCACUCACCCACGCCCCCUGUUAUUCUGCAGCGACGGCAGCCUCACACAGCAGCCGAACGAGUGAACCCUCAUACUCCUCUACGCUCACUACUAGGAAAAGGGCUAUAGAUGGAAUGGCCACUAAUGGCGCACCAGACAUAUGGUGCGCCACUACUAUAUAGCAGUGGUGCACCAUGUGCUGGUGCGCCAUUAGUGUGAAAGACACUAAUGGCGCACCAGACAAGUGGUGCGCCACUAGUAACAUUUAUUUUUAUUUUUCCAAACAUACAAAUGGCGCACCAGUGCACAGUGCGCCAUUAGUACUUCUAACUAGUAAUGGCGCACCGGCCGCACAGUGUGCCACUACUAUUGUUUUUCUUGUUCUUUUUUUUUGCAAAACUACGAAUGGCGCACCAUGGCAUAGUGCGCCAUUACUAGUUUAAACUAGUAAUGGCGCACUGUGCCACGGUGCGCCAUUAGUAUAUAGACUUUUUUUUUGCAAAACUACUAAUGGUGCACCACCUGCAGGUGCGCCAUUAGUAACCAGGGUUACUAAUGGCGCAUUUGCAGGUGGUGCGCCAUUAGUAACCUGGGACCAACAAGAUAUUUUGGACAGCCACACCUAACCACUCACUUUCCACACUUCAUUGUCUCCACCUCCUCCUCCAAGCUUGUCUCGGCUGCCUCCUCCUCCUCACCUCAUUUGCACCAUAGAUUCAUCCAAAUUAAGUGGUUAAAUUACCUUUUGUUGAUAGGUAAGUAAGGGCGGAAGCUAUCUUUAUGUUGUUCUCCCUCCAACAACGUGCACAAGCACUUUUUGUGGCCUAGCUAGAUCUAUGUAUGUUCGUGGUGUUGCAUAUGUUUGUGGUGUUGCAUAUAUUUUUGUGUUUGUAGGUACCAGUGUUUGAAAUGCGAUAGUUGCCAAUAUUUUGCCGGAAUGUUGAUUCAUUUCCAUUUCGGCGAGAAUUUUGGCACUAUGCAUUCUUUUUUGUCCUAUUUUAGGGAAAGUCAUGCCAAAUUUUUUCUUGGUUCUAAAAUAUCGUUUUGCUCUACCCCGCAGGUGACCACGGUCCGCACGAUGACCGAAGGCAUCGUGAAUAGGUUUUUGAGCUCCGCGAAGGCCGAGAUGCUUCAAAAGAACGAGAAGGAGAUAAGAUGUCCGUGUCGAAGAUGCAAGCUGAAGAGCCUUAUUGCGGACCCGGAUUCCAGGCAGGUGCGGGACCACCUACUCUUGCGUGGUUUCAUGGAUGGCUAUCGGUGGCAAGGUGAUGAAGAUGACUAUGAAGUCGUCCAUGGGGGGCGGGCAAGAAAUGAGGAACGGCAGCAAGACAACCACCGCGGCUCGGGCGGGCAAGAAGACGAAGAAUCUCCAGGACAUGAUCACGACGGUGAUGCUGUACACAGUCAUCAUGUAGAAGAUGCAGGACAUGAUGAUGAGGAAGAUGCCGGAGCAGACGAAGGGCAUGAUCAUGAAGAUGAAGAUGCCGGCGGAGCUGACGACGAUGGACCAUCGAUGGGCUGGGUGCAGGACCCUCAUAUUCAAGAGCUGCUUUUGAAGUAGACGGAUAACGCAAGAGCUGCCGCCCGAGAGAAAUACAAGCUGGAUCAACUGGAGAUAGACGCGGUUACUGCAUUGUAUGAAGGAUGCAGGCCCGAGGAUACCCGCCUGAAAGUAACGCUCAUGGCUCUGGAGAUGAAGGUAAAACACAAAAUGACCAACGCAUGCCUGAAAGUAACGCUCAUGGCUCUGGAGAUGAGGAUACCCGCCUGAAAGUAACGCUCAUGACAUUCUGGCGCGACCGUCUUCCCAAGGGGAACAAGUGCCCGACCAGUUUCGAGGAGGCGAAGAAAAUCGUGUGUCCUCUGUAUUUACCGCACGUGAAAUAUCAUGUGUGCAUGAACAAUUGCAUCAUUUAUCGGGACAAGCACGCGAAGUCUACCAUAUGUCCGGUGUGCAGUGUCACUCGAUACAAGAAGAGGAAGAAAGCUCCUCGAAAAGUGGUGUGGUACUUUCCGAUCACUCCUCGUCUGCAGCGGUAUUUCACGGACCCUAAGGUAGCAAAGCUCCUGCGUUGGCACACGGAUAGGGACGAGAAGAAGCCAGAAGAUGACGCAAAUGAUCCGGAGAUAAAUAGAAAAGACAAGAUGUUGAGUCACCCUAGACAAGAUGCAAAUCAUCCAAGGAACAUCGUGCUGGGCGCGAGCACCGAUGGAGUCAAUCCGUUUGGCAGCCAGAGAAGCAGACAUAGCACCUGGCCUGUGUUUGUGUGGAUGUACAACCUUCCCCCCUGGUUGUGCAUGAAGAGGAAGUACAUUCACAUGAGUAUGCUAAUUGAAGGGCCCAAACAACCAAGGAAAGACAUCAAUCUGUAUCUGGGGCUGCUGAAAGAGGAGCUAGACACGCUAUGGAAAACGCUAGCCAAUACGUGGGAUGCCGCACAGAAAGAAUAUUUCCCUAUGAGAGCCGCACUGCUCACGACGGUGCUCGACUAUCUUGGUUACGGAUAUGUCGCGGGGCAGGUGGUCCACGGAUUUACUGGAUGCGUUAGGUGCAUGGAUGACACAACAUAUCGCCAGCUGGAUAGAGAUCCCAGGUCUUCGAAAACCGUGUUCAUGGGACAUCGAAGGUGGCUUCGCGACGAUGACCCGUGGAGGAAACACAAGGAUCUGUUUGAUGGUGAAACCGAACCCCGAAGACGGCCGCGUACGAGGCGCGGCGAGGAAAUAGACGAGCUGUUGAAAAAUUGGAAAGAUUUCCCACUGCCGGGAAAGAAGCAAAAGGCGCCAGAGCUAGGAAAGAAGCGAAAGGCGCCAGAGCCACUGCUAAAGGUAUGGAAAAUGAGGUCUAUUUUCUGGGACUUGUCGUACUGGAAGAUCCACUGUGUGCCUCACGGCCCUGAUGUCAUGCAUAUCACGAAGAAUGUGUGCGAGAGUCUACUUGGUACCCUGCUCAACAUGCCAGAGAGGACCAAAGAUGGGCUGAAAGCAAGGGCAGACUUGAUAUCAAUGGGCAUCAGGGAGGAGCUUCACGCUAAUGAUGAUUAUGAUGAGGCGAAGCAGGACACAGAAAGUCAUCGCAAAGGCAAAAAGGCCAAGAAGACCGGAAAUGACUACCCUCCCGCGUGCUUCACUCUAAGUCAGGAGGAGAGCGAUCAGUUUUUCACCUGCCUCGUAGGAGUAAAUCUUCCUUACGGUUACGCGGGGAAGAUAAGCAGAUACCUAGACCCAGCGAAGCAGAAGUUCAGCGGGAUGAAGUCUCACGACUGUCACAUGCUGAUGACGCAGAUACUUCCAGUUGCAAUCCGUGGGAUCAUGGACGCGCACGUCCGUGAAAUGCUAUUUGGCCUAUGCAACUUUUUCGACGUCAUCUCUCAGAAGUCGGUUGGCGUGAGGCAACUCAGAAGAGAUCGUGGUGAUACUAUGCGAGCUUGAGAUGUAGUUCCCGCCCGCACUCUUCGACGUUAUGGUGCAUCUGCUGGUCCAUAUCAUGGAGGAUAUCAUCCAACUCGGGCCGACGUUCCUGCACAGCAUGAUGCCGUUCGAAAGGAUGAAUGGUGUCAUCAAAGGAUACGUUCGGAACAUGUCACACCCAGAGGGAAGCAUAGCCAGGGGCUUUCUGACCGAAGAGUGAAUCUCCUACUGCACGAAUUAUCUAGGCAUCGAGAACCCCGUUGGUCUGCCCGUCAACAGGCACCUCAGCAGGCUCGCUGGAUGGGGUCACCGUGAGGGUCGCUGUGAAAUGCAUGUCGACUUUGAGGGUCGACUCGCCGACUUUGAAAGAGCAAACCUAGUCACUCUACAACACAUAGACGUGGUCGAUCCUUGGGUGGUAGAGCACAAAACCUUUAUUGAGAAGACGUACAAUGACCGAGGCCAACAGAGGACAGAUGGAGAUAUAAUCAAAGAGCACAACUCAUGUUUCACGCGUUGGUUCAAGCAGAAGCUUCUGUCGUACCCUUUACAUGAGGAUUCUUCCGCGGAAGAACAACUCAUAUUUGCCUUGUCACAGGGCGCCGAGCACAACAUGAUGACGUAUGAGGCGUACGAUAUCAACGGCUACACAUUCUACAACGAGGGAAAGGACAUGAAGAGCGAUCGUUAUCAGAACUCCAGGGUAACGAUGGAAUCCUAUACUGGUAACGACAAGGACAGAUACUACGAAAGGAUCGAGGAGAUCUGGGAGCUGAGCUACGCUAGAGAGAAGGUCCCGAUGUUCCGUGUCAGAUGGGACAAGAACGUCAUAAAAGAAGACCGGUAUUUCACCACCAUGGUUAUACCCGAAGCCAAAUCCAAGAACCCGGGCGCAAACAUCACCGCGAAAAAUGAGCCAUGGGUACUGGCUUCCCAAGUGGACCACUGCUUCUUCAUUACCGACCCACCAAAGCCCAGUCGUGUUGUCAUGAGGAUAGGAAAAAGGAAGAUCAUCGGAAUGGAUGGAGUCGCCAAUGAGCAAGACUUCGACAUGUACGGGGACCCGAAGAUGGAACAUGACGAUGACGAUGAAGUAUCAGCAUACACCACAAGAAGAAGCUGGACCACCCUACCUUAAGGACGUCCGUUCAAGAGAAGAACUCCAUCUACGAAACAUAAGGGCAAGAAGAUUGUGAACAGAUAGCUAGCUAAGAUCGAUUGUAUUUAAAUUGUAGCCUUCAUUUCUCGACUGUAUUUCAUGGGCACUUUUUGAACUCAUGAAUGUUUUUAAAUUUCAUGGACACUCGAUCUCGACCCACCUCCAUCUCGAUCGCUAUCCCACCUCGCCAGAUCCGGUCCCCCUCGUUGCCGAGCACGACCCGCACCCUCUCCCCCACUCCACUGCCGCUGACGACCCACCGCACCCUCCCCCGCUCCACCGACCGCCGUCGCUGACGCCCCGCACCGUCCCCCGCUCCACUGCCGUCGACGACCCACCGCACCCUCCCUUGCACCACCGCCGCCGACGACCCCCCNNNNNNNNNNNNNNNNNNNNNNNNNNNNNNNNNNNNNNNNNNNNNNNNNNNNNNNNNNNNNNNNNNNNNNNNNNNNNNNNNNNNNNNNNNNNNNNNNNNNNNNNNNNNNNNNNNNNNNNNNNNNNNNNNNNNNNNNNNNNNNNNNNNNNNNNNNNNNNNNNNNNNNNNNNNNNNNNNNNNNNNNNNNNNNNNNNNNNNNNNNNNNNNNNNNNNNNNNNNNNNNNNNNNNNNNNNNNNNNNNNNNNNNNNNNNNNNNNNNNNNNNNNNNNNNNNNNNNNNNNNNNNNNNNNNNNNNNNNNNNCCGCACCCUCCCCGACCCGCUCCACCGUCACAAAUGAAUGCAACUAAAAUUGCAAAAAAAAAUUGAUUAUAUUUUCAAAUAACAAAUUUGAUGAUAUUUUCAAAUAAUAAAUUUGAUGGUAUUUUUUCAUAUUCAUAAAUAUUUUGAAAUAACAAAUUUGAUGAUAUUUUUUAAAAAAUUAUUACUGUUUUAUUAAAAAUUAUUACUAUUUCAUAUUCAUAUUCAUUCUCUAAAAAAUUAUUAGAUGCAACAAAAAAUAAUAAUAAUAAUAAAUUACUUAUGGCGCACCCCUAGCUGGUGCGUCAUUGCCAUAUAAAAAAAGUUUACUAAUGGCGCACCUCUGGCUGGUGCGCCAUUGCUAUAUAUAAAAAAGAUUACUAAUGGCGCACUGACCGCGGGUGCGCCAUUGCUAUCUGAAAAAACAUACUAAUGGCGCACCGCUGCGGGGUGCGCCAUUAGUAAGGUUCCCCCCUAGCUAACUCCUACCUCUCCCUCUCGCCAGAUCCCCGUCCCUCUCCCUCGCCAGAUCCACUCGCCGGACUCCACCCCCGCCGCCCCCGCGCCCCCGCGCCCCCCACCGCCGCAGCUCCCCCGCGCCGCCGCCCCUACAACCCCGUGCCGCCGCCCCCGCGCCCCGAGCCGGAGGAGGAGGACCAGGAGGAGGACCACGAGGAGCCCGCGUCGUCUCUCCGCCCCCCACCACAAGGAUCUCGCCGCCGCCCGCGUCGCCAUCGUGCCUCCUCGCCGCUGCUAAGGUACAACCCUCCAUUCCCCAUCGGGCCUGGCACUUCUCUCUCUCCCUCACCACUUCAUCUUCCACCUCCGGCCACCACCACGUCCAGGCCGGUGUGGCAGCGCGCCACCGCAUCUCCAUCCACCACUCCACACCCAUCCAACAAUGCAUCCACCAGCACCACCAUUACCAGCGACCACCGCCAUCAGCACUAGCACCACCUCGCGCGCCCGACCAGACGAGGGGAGGCAAGAUUGUCUAGUGCUCCACGCGAGUCUCUCCUCCCUGUUGCUCCUUACCACGCUGCUGGUCUUCCCUCUCCAUCUCUGCUGCUGCUAUUCCUUGCACCCCUGUGCUGCUGCCGCUGCUUGGUACUUCUCCUUUGAUCCCUUUGCUGCUGCUCUUCUUCUCCCACGUCCCCUGCUGCACCUCCACUCCUUCUCUCUACUGCUGCUCCUCCCCUCGUCCCUACUGCUGCUCCUCCUCCGCUCAAGUUCUUCAACUUGUUGUUGCUGUUUUUGUCUCUCUAUCUGAUCUCAAAUUUCUGUAAUCUUGAGAAGUUUAUUGUUAAGUACUUUGCAAUAUUCAGAAUUGAUAUGUGUAGUACCUGAAAUAUUCAGAUUUCAUAAGAGCUUGCAACUUGACAAUUCUUCAGUUUCGUACUCGCAAAAUAUAGUGCAUUUUAUUGUUUUUUCUGACUAGUUAAAGUCUAGUUGUUUGAAUUAUAUUUACUAUGUGUGAUAUGCUCUGUGAUAUAGUAAUCUCCUAGCAUAUGCGUGUGAUCCCCUAUGUGUUCGUUUCUUGACUGGUGCUUGUUUAAUACCACUCAUUUUGUUGAUCUGUGAGUACUAGAAUUAUGUCUUGUAACCCCCUGUUUGCAUAUGUGUGAUGUGUGUUCUGUAGUCCUUAUGUUAACUAUGUUCAUGCGAGAAUGUAUAUUUUUGUGUUGUGAUAUAUUUCUGUCCUUGUCAUAGUAUUGUUUCUACCCUUUGUUUACUUUCUCAAAUAAAACAAAAUACCAAAAUGACAGUGGGUAAAAUCUGAACCUCCCUUUGCUAUUUUUCACUUUCUUUGUGGAUUAUCUUCGGGAACAACCUUGUUUAGUUUAGGUUUAUUUUCUUGUAGCCAUAUUCUGAAAUCUUUCACCUAGCUUUAGCCGAGCAUAGUCGCCAUCGCCUAGUCCCUGUGGGGAACACGACACUUGCAGAUUUGGGCGAAAUACCCUACUGUACUUACAAUCUAUCAAUUUGUAUUGUAAAUAGAGGAGUGACUUCAUUCCUAUCUCACUGACAAACAACAGAUAGUGUUCAAUGAUCAGUUACCGCUCUGUUUUUUGGUAAAAGCCGCACAAAUAUAUCUGUCAAGGUGUUCGCGGUAGUGCCCAAACAACAGAUAAUGGGCUGUAGUGCUUUCUGUUCUACCUUAGUAUGAUGUCACUUAGCAUGGCAGAUUAAUCUGCCCUAUGUAUGUGUUUAAUUAUAUUCAUGGUUGCUUUAUGUGUUUGUUGAUUAUGCAGGUUCCCUGGCUAGGCCUCUGGGUGAGUGCAUCAUCGGUUCCUGCUGAAGCUGCUCCUGCUGCUUCCAAGGUUUGCUCCUACAUGUCCCUUUGAGAGCUUGAGCACUUGAACUGUGGCUUUAUUUGCCCCUUGAAGGCUUUUAUUGUUACGUUAAUAACUUCUAUAGUGGCUGCAUCAUGUGCUAUAAAUCCAGAUUGUACUUUAGUUCCAGAUUUCUAUGCAUGCCACCUUGUUGUGAUUAGUUAGGUUAGUUUAGUUCCAGAUGUCUAAAAUAUAAUGUACUUAUUGUUCAUGGUUGAUUGCAAAUUAGUUCUGGUGCCUCCAGUGGAGUAGAGUGUGGAGAGCCAAGAAGCUUUAUCUCUUUAAAUUCAGUUAAUUUCCUUACUGAAAUUAGGUUGUUGCCUUGAUACAGUAUUGUACAGUGGAAAUUUUAUUUGAUUGUGAGAUGAUUGGAUUUUGAAAUGUAGGCAUACGGUACUGAACUAUAGUACUGAACUGAACUAUAGUGAUUGUUUUUUUGAGCUCUUUCUUUUUCAUUUCCUACUAUCCUUAUCCUAAUUAUCUUAAAUUGUUAUGUUGUGUGUAACAUGAUUAGAUCUUGGAUUUGCUAGUGGACUUUGGGAGUUUCUUGGCCAGCUUGCUGACUCCAUAUUUUUCACUAUUUCAGCAAGUCUUUUGUAAGCAUUAAACUUUCAGCACUACAUUUUAUCUUAUGUGUACAUUUGUUUGCUUCCAAUUGCUAUAUAUGUAUUGUUGUUACUAAAAAUGAUGAAGCUCCUGUCAAUUUCUAUACAUAUAUAUGUGUAUGCUGAUCCUCCUUUCCUAAAAGUGAGAUUGCCAUAUGUAGUUCAGAACUGACCUAGCUAAGGUUGUUUUCCUACUGAAUGAUGAUAUUAUUAUGAUGAUAUUUUCCUACUGAUUAUAAUUUGUACCUGUGUACUAGCACUGUGUCAUAUUCUUCCAUUACAAGUAGUACAAGGCUAGUACUUGGAGUGCUACUCUCUUACUGCCAGUGACCGUCUAUCGAGGUCAUUAACUCCAACUCAAGUGGGCAUAAUUCUCUGCAGUAGUAUAGCACUUGCAGUACUAUGGCACUUUGAGUAGUAUGGUACUUGCAGUAGUGGUGCCUACGCAAGAUAUAGUUCAGAUUUGAUUAGUUCCGUAAAUUUGUAUGACCACAGAUUUGUAUAGUUUCAGAGAUUUGUAUGACCAAAGAUACAGUUCAGAUUUGAUUAGUUCCAUAAAUUUGUAUAGUUUCAGAGAUUUGUAUGACCAAAUAUAUAUUUCAGAUUCGUAUAGUUUUAGAGAUUUGUAUGACCAAAGAUACAGUUCAGAUUUGAAUUGUUUCAGAAAUUUGUAUGACCAGAGAUACAAUUCAGAUUUGAAUUGUUUCAGAAAUUGGUACGACCAAAGAUGUUGUUGUAUAUAAAUGGGCUGUUGUAGAACUGUUCUUCAUCUUUACAGUGCUGUUGUAUAGAAAUAUGCUGAAUUUUUUGCUUUGAUUGUUGCUCAAAGAAAUUUAGCAAAAAAUGGUGUCCUGGGAGACGCCGCUGCUGCUUGAGGCCCUUGAGAGGCCCUUCGUGUCGUGAUGAUUUUGCAGGUACCCCGAGAGGCCCUUGAGUUUGCCGGAAUGUCGAUUAACUUCCGUUCCGGUGAAUUCCGGUACUCUAUAUGUCCUAUUUUCAGCAAAGGUCAUGCUGAAAUUUUCCGUGUAUUUUAGCAUGACUUUGCUAAAAAUCAGACAGAUGGGGUACUUGCUACUAAUGCAUGGGCCGGGGUAUCUUAGUACUUAAUUAAGUAUGAUCAACUGCCCCUUUAUUCUUGCUGCAUUAAACCAUAGGUGGAAAUAGAGCGCAGUGAUUAGGCCCAAAUUAGAAUUUUCCUUAGCAUCGAUAAACCCUAGAUGAUAAACCCAACAUAGGUGGCAAUAGAGCCAAGUGAUUAGUGCAAAGUGAUUAGACCCAACCUAGGGUGCCUCGGCAUCGAUAAACCCUAAAUGAUGAAAACUUAACUUAGCAUUUAGGGUGCCUCGGCGUCGACAAACCCUAAAUGAUGAAACCUUGGCUUUUAGGGUGCCUCGGUGUCGAUGAGAACCGAAAUGAUGUACGCUUAGGCUCUUAGGGUGCCUCGGUGUCGACAAACCCUAAAUGAUAAAAGCUUAGCUUUUAGGAUGCCUCGGUGUCGACAAACCCUAAAUGAUGAGAACAUGAUCUUGUUCCUUGACAAUAACCAACUUCUUGACCAAUCUUUUUUCCUAUUUAGAGCGAUACAUGGCCCACAACGAUGAGGCCGGCGGUUUGGGCGGCAAGCAAUUCUCGGAGCUGUCCCAGGAGUUGGAGGAAGAACCUCACCCCUAUGAGGACGCCGCGGAAGACACCGAUCCUGACUACACAACACCUAGUGGCGUCGGGGAUGACACCACUGAUGGUGCCGCCGAGGAUGCCACCACUGAUGAUGGCGGCGCACACACAGAUGGCAGCCAACCGAAGAGGCAACAGAAGGACCGGCGCCCGAGCAUGCUUGCCACCAUCAAGGAGGAAUUCAGUGAAGUGGACUUUGACGGGCAUCCAACGAUGCCCAAAGAAUUAGUUAAGGGGUACUCGGUUAAGCUCGGGUGCAUUCUCUGGAGCACCGUCUCGAUCAACACCGAGAACCUAAGGCAUAAGGACCGAGGGAAUUUGCGCAGCCUCCUCUUCACGAAGCUGCACGAACAAUACAAGUUCCCCGCUGACUUUUCAACCACACGCCUCUCAGUGAAUAAAGUGAACAGUGCCGCCCUCACGAAGAUGAGCACGGCCCUGUCUACUUGGAGAAGCACGGUGAAGGCAAUGAUUGAAAAAGGUGAUAGUUAUGAGAAGAUCAAGGCGAAAUAUCCUUUGAUCAACGAAGAUGACUACAAGAGGUUCAAGAUCAAGUGCGAGAGCAGCGCAACCUCCGAAUCAAGUUAGUGGGGAAAAGAAAUGCGGGAGUUGAACUUAGGGGUCCACCAACUCGGUCCCGGCGGUUACAGGGUGGCGGAGCCUAUAUGGGACAAGGAGGACGCGGAGCGUGCCGAGCAAGGCCUACCGCCCCGCUUUGAGAAAUACCAUGACAGGCAGACCAGGAACUAUGUCAGGGCCCGGUACAAGGAGGACCCGAUAACAAAUGAGCUUACCACGGAUCCGAAGACCUGGGCGCUUGAGCUUGUUCUGGUAAGGAAUACACCCCCGCGUAAUUAGCUCCAUAUGGUUGCAUUCUAAUUAAUCCCCAAUAUUUCUAAAUGGUUCAGGUUCCUUCCGCAGGACACUAAAAGCAGUAGCUCGGGUUUGUCUCAGAGCUCCCCUUUCGACACCCCUUUAAAUAGGGCGUUGAACGUAAUGAAAAACAAGUAUAAGCUUAGUAAGCCGUCGUCAACCGGUCGUGUGGCCGGCAAAGGCUUGUCCACAAAAUGGUCAUCAUACUAUACCGCUGGUGGGCGAAAGGAGAAAAAGGCCAGCUCGGAAAGCCAGUCGGGCGAGGUUGAAGCACUCAAGGCACAAGUGGCGCCGAUUGCGGAGAUUAAUCAAGAGCAAGUGCAAGUACAACUGGGAACGACGCUCCGGUGGAGGUGGUAUACGUGUCUCCGGCGCCGGCACAGGCAUUGGAGUUUAACGCACCUGGGUGUACGCCGGCCGACACCUCGCCAGCAAGCGGCCCCUCCGUUAGUUGCACGCCCGCCAUUGGCGGUGCCUCGACAUUAGCCGAGCUCGACGGCAUCACGGUACGUAACUAAGCCUCUAGGCCGAUGACUUCAUCUCCUUGCCUUCGACUGGGCAUCCCUAACACCCUACAUGUUUCCGCAGGGCGCCGCCGACGUUCCUUGCACUCUCCUGCACUUCGUGGGCGACGAGUUGGUUGAUGUCGCCAAGGGCAGAAUCGUUCAACCGGGCAACCCCAUGUUCCACGGUAAUCCGACGCCACCCACAGUGUAUAGGGCUGAACUGGUUCGGGUGCUGCCAGGCUGCCACGAGCUGUUACCUCCAAUAUGACCCGCUGGGGCCGACGAAGAAGAUGAGAGGACCCUCAGCGCCUGCGUAAACUGGCCCCUGCUUUGGCCGAAGAUCUAGAUUCGUUUGGGGGCGGGGGACACCACCCCACAGACAAGACCGCCAGUCGUGCUGGCGCCAAGCCAUGGCAAGAAUGCCGCAACGCUACAGGACAUGCCGGACAUCCCUAUGGCACAGGAUCCGGACAUGCAUAUGGCACAGGAUCCGGACGACGACAACGACGACAGUACAUUUACCAACAUCGAUAAGUACUUUGCCGAAUAUGGGUACGGUGACGAGUUCAGCGGGCCUCCUUCUCAAGAACACAACCAAGACGACCGUGAUCUAGCUGGUACAGCGGAGAAAUCCAAUUGCAACAGGCAUCGUCUAGCGUUCAGUUCUCAGGAGACGCCUCGAGCUCCCGCCUUCACCGAGGCUCAGAUAGUUGAGGCAAAAUAUUAUCAGCCCCAACACGCUCAAGAAGGCGGUCUGUGAGCAAAACUCGGUCCCAUUACAGUAGAUCAAGAAGAAGGGACGAAAACGAAAGACUAACAAGGGCGCCCAUGCGAGCCAGCCGGCACCAAGUAUGAUCCGUGCUCAGGACGGGCCACCUUCACCUAAGGAUAUCUCGAGGAGGGUGCAUUUGGCGGGUAGGGCGAUGCUACUGACAAAUAUGCUCAAUGCUGCAACCGGUGCUAUGCGGAGUCUGCAUGACAAUGUUCUUUCUUUGGAGAAGAUGUGUCUCUCCCAGAAUGAUGUGGCAUACCCGGUUUUCCUGGCCAAGGUGCCAGAGGGCAAUGGCUUUAUGGAUGGCGCCAUCGGGGGUACGAUCAUCCUGCGGUUUGAUGACAUCUUUGCUAUGUUUAAUCUUCAUCCGCUGCACUACACCUUCGUUCGGCUAUUUUCACUGAGUAUGGCGAUGUGGAUCAUUCGAGACAAGACCCCAGACAUCGUGAUAGUCGACCCCUUCUACAUGCGUGCCAAGAUCUUGGGCAGCGCUGGGGACCGGCAAGUCGCGAGUUCACACCUCGAAGGCGUCAUUCUGGCAAACCCAGAUGAGGAUAACUUCCUCGUGCCUUACUUUCCCGAGUAAGUCAUCCCCUCACCGCCCCUGUAACAUAUGAUUUCUUAGAUUUUGAUCGUUCUUUUUUUUCUAACAUUUCGUGUUCUGUGCAGUGACACACAUUGCACAUUCAUCCUCUUAAGCCUGAAAUAUUACACGGCCACGUAUUUCGACCCGGACCGUGACUCCAAUAUAGACUACACAAAUAUCUAGAAAGUUCUUGAUGAUGCUCUCCCCGGCUACGCCACAUCUGGAGGCACCUUUAAGAGGCCAGUUCGUAGGUACAGCAGGCACAUGUUCACCCACAAUACGACGUUCCCCUACGUCAAGCAGCCGCCUGGCGGUCAGAAGGAUGCCAACUACACCCUCCAUCACAUGAGGGUGAUCGUACAGGACCAUAAUCACCUUCUGCUACCAAAUAAUGUCAAAGAUUGGGCCGCAAGCUUGGCGGCAAUCCAGGACAUGGAUCUCCGACAAGAAUUCUUUUGCAUCCAGUCGGAGUUUGCAGAAAUCAUCCAUCAAGAUAUCCUUCGUACCUCGGGGCAGUUCUACCUCAGAGAUCAACCGUCCAACAGUGAGAUAGACACAACGCUUCAAAUGCAGGCUGACAACGCCUGCGACUUCAUGACCAUCACGAAAGACGGCGGCUUCGUCCACGCUCCGAUCCCAUGAGUCGAGUCGAAAGUAGUGAUGCUAUUUGUAGUUAUGAAACAUUGAUUAGCUCAUAUUGUAAUUAAACUUUAAUGAACUUGUAUGUCUCUUUGGUUUGGACAGUCGUUCAGCUUAGAUGUAAUCGAUGCUAUUUAUUAGUAGGACCAUGAAUCGUGCUAUUAAUUUCUUGCUUUUCUCUUCCGAUCCUUUUGUUGCAUACUUAUAUAUUGCUUAUGUAUUGUCUGUUGUUUGGCUUGUGCAUAGAGAUGUCGUCAUACGUCAUGUACAAGGGUAAGGUUCCCGGAGUCUACGACAACUGGGAGGAGUGUCGGAUACAGGUUCACCAUUUCAGCGGUUUUACAAAGGGUACACCACUAGGGCGGAGGCGGAAUCAAGAUACACCCGCAAUCUAGCGGGAGAGAGGAGGGAGCGUUGGAGGAACCGGGUGAAGACCAGUUUCAUCGCGAUGAUGCUCAUCGUGAUGACCGCAGCUCUCUUCUAUGUGAUGGUAGUUUAGAUGAUCGAUAUUGACUUGUAAUGUGAAGACAAACUCGCUACUCACGGUCUCCGAGACUUGUAAUGUUCUAUCUUCGUUCGGUCUUUUGUAUUUGGAGACUAAUAUGAUGAAUUGUAUUCGGAGACUUACCUUCUAUUGUAUUCGAUGAAUCUGCUGUUACUGUGUGGUGCUGUCUAUAUACUAUCAAAUAAUAUAUUUUGUAACCUGUAAAAAAAUCAGAAAAAAACAAAAAAACCUAAUAUUAAUACUAAUGGCGCAUCACCCCACAGUGCGCCAUUAGUAUGCCAAAGGAUACUAAUGGCGCAUCACAACACAGUGCGCCAUUAGUAUGCCAAAGGAUACUAAUGGCGCAUCACACCAUAGUGCGCCAUUAGUAUGCCGAAGCACAUGGGUAUAUAUGGCCCCCUCGGAGGCAUACUAAUGGCGCAUGUUGCUCUAUACUAAUGAAGCACGACAUGGUGCGCCAUUAGUAUACCAGAUACUAAUGGUGCACCACUGGUGCGCCAUUAGUAUAUAAUACUAGUGGCGUGAUACUAGUGGCGCACCAGUAGUGCGCCAUUAGUAGGCAAAACUAGUGCGCCACUAGUAGGCCUUUUCCUAGUAGUGGCUUGUGCAUCCACUGCCGCGUCUUCCCCGGCUCCGUGUAGUCCCCUUACUUCCUAGGCCUCGCCGUUGUCCAUCGCCCUGGUGCUCUCGGCGCGGCUUGGUCAAGGUGGUCAAGGAACGACUUCCAUCGGAAGAGUACUAUACGUGGAGAGGCUGACAGCUGGGUCCAUGGCGGCCGCAAGGAAGUGCCUCCUUAUUAUGCGCAAAAUAAUUAUUCCUCCACCUGACAGCAGGAACCCAUUGGACGGGCCACCGUAUUUCAUGAAAAAAAUGUUCCCCCCUGACUGCUAGGACCUACCAGCUACAUCUUCGCACGCAAGGAAGUGCGUCCAUAUUACAGGCAGAAAAAUGAUUCACCCCCUGACUGUUGGGACCCACCAGCUACAUGUUCGCACGCAAGGAAGUGUGUCCGGGCAAAAAAAAAUAAUUCGCCCCCUUGACUACUGGGACCCACCAGCUACAUCUUCGCACGCAAGGAAGUGCCUGACAGUCGGGACUCACCUGGUCGAAGCCUACGUAGCGUUGUCAUUCUGGUCGCGAACGUGUACGUACAUACUGGUGGAUGUAGAGGCACACACGUGUCGUCGUAGAGGCGCGCAUGUAGCAUGUGCACUUAUGUACAUCGGCCAGUGUGCAAGAAAGAAAAAACGGUAACGUACAUACAUACGGGCGGUGUCUCGAACCCCUACUCGCGCAUACGUACGGCCUGGGCUUGUGUACAUGGCUGGGUCGGAACGGAGAAACUACGUCAUCGUCGUGUUCAUGGGGAGCCAACCGGCUGGGUCGGAACGGAAUGCAUCGUCAUGUUCAUCAGGAGGGCUUGGACGGAACAGGCAAUGUAAACGAGGCCUGGCAUACCGCAGAACGGAGGAAACGGCCUUGUGUUCGACCGGCCAUGUUCGAAACGGGAUCCUGUUCAUCGGGAGGGGUCUGGCGUACCGCAAAACGGAGAAAACAUACCUCGUACGGUGGAAACGGGGGUUCUGUUGAUCGGGAGGGGUGUGGCGUACCGCAAAACGGACAAAACGGACUUGUGUUGGAGCGCUAUGGUCGAAACGGGGGUCCUGCUCAUCGGGAGGGGUGUGGCAUACCACAAAACGGGACUCCACGGGAUACUGGUCAUUUCUAUCGUCGACGUCCUCCAGCCUCCACGGGCUACUGUUCAUCCACCGUUGACCUCCUCCAGCCUUCACCUGCGACUAUUCAUCCACGGGCUCCUGUUCAUCUAGCCUCCACCGUGCGCUACUCCGCCGGCUAUUGUUCAACCACCCCUCUCCAAGGGCUCCUGUUCAACCACCCCUCCAUGGGACACUGUUCAUCCACCCCUCCAUCGUCUACUAUUCAUCGAACCCUCCACAGGGUCGUCCUGUUCAUCCAGCCCUCCACGGAGUCCUGUUUAUCCAACCCCAACCAGCUUGAUCAAUCGGGGUCCUGUUCAUCCAGAGGCAACGCUACGGGGUCCUAUUCAUCCACCCCCACCGGUCACUAUUCAUCCACCCCUCCACCCGCUGCAACGCUCACUGUUCAUCCAGAGGCAGCAUCAAUCGGCUUCAGUUAGCAGCAAUAGCGAAGGAGUCACUCAAUCGGGUUCAGUUAACAACCAACGAUCGACCGCUCGGGUUCAGUAACACGUAGCCUGCAGUGCAAUCGCUCGGGUUCAGUUAGAGCCCAACGCCUUGCUCGGGUUCAGUUAGAGCCAACGCCUCGCUCACAUGCGCUUACGUGUACGAGAUAAACGCGCAUCCCUCGGCCCCGACCUCCCACCCUAAAUGGGAACUCGCCGAAAUUUUCCUCGCCCUCGUUUCUACCAUGGUUUUUUCUGUCAUGGACGGCCCAAAGAAUGUCAUGCAGCUGCGUCUCCGGCCUGCCCAGGACGAAAAUCCCAUUUUCUAUCAUGAUUUUUUGUUAUAGAAGUACGAGCCCACCACAUAUAUGAUGAUACCGGGUUUUGUCACAAUUAUCGUCAUAGAAGUGUCAUAAGUAUGACAGAAAAAAAUCAUUCGGCCCAAAAUGUCACGGAUGUGUCUUUUUUUCGUAGUGUAACAUGCGUCUACUUUUGAAAUAUACAUAAAAAAGGAAGUAAAACUUGUAGGAAAAAUUAUUGGAUGGUCAAAUAAUUAAUUCUUCUGGAAUGUAUGACCAAAUUAACACUACUAGGGAAAAGCCUAGCAGUAGCGCGGGUUUUUGGCCUACCAGUAGCGCGGGUUGCAGCGCUACUAGUAAGGCGCUACAACUAAACGUUAGCAGUACCAUGGGUGUACCCACGCUACUGUUAUAUCCACUUAGUAGUAGCACUACCUAGAAAGGGUGCUACUGGUAAUUACUAGUAGCGCUUCUCGCAGCCCGGGCUACUACUAUUAUUCCAUAUUAUAGUUCUUUUUUAUUCCAUCAUAAUCAGUUAUUACAUCACUUGGUGAAAGAACCGUGGACUAGUUUCAAGUGGAUGGACAUCCACUUGAAACUAAUCCGCGGUUCUUUCACCCAAUGAUAUAAUAAAUAUCAUCAUAAUCAUAUUAUUAACAACAUAUCAUUAUAAUACAUCAUUGUCAUAUAACACCUCCUCAUGAUCAUCAUUUUCAUCAAUGAGACAUCAUAUAGCAAGUUGGACACUAGUCAUAAUCACAACUCCUCCUCAUCACCAUCAACUCUAACACAUUGUACCACAUAAUAACACAUUGUACCUAGGACCUACUUCUCUCUCAUAGGACCUACUACCUUAUCUUAGGUAAAAUAGCAUAAAACAAGAUAGGCCCUGACUCUCCAUUAUGGUGAAUGGAUAUUAUCAUGUCUCCAAUUCUUGCCCUUCACAAAAUGUUGCUUCCAUAUAGCUCCCUACGAUUGACCAUACAUUUUUUCCAAUCUUUGAUUGUCAUGUCUUCAUCGGUUUUAGAAAACCGAUAUGGAUAGGAGUGAUUUGUAGGAUGACCUGGCCGUAUGUUCAAAACAUCAAGGUGACCUUUCUGAAACAUCAGAUGGGGCACACAAUCCUUCAAGAUUUUCUGUUGAAAAACAUAGUAACAACUUCGUAGUUAGCAAUGUAGUUCAGUUUUAGAAGAAUUUAUGCAAAAGAUGCACGGAUGUUGUAAUAGUAAAAAAUCUUACCAUGGCAUCUCCAUGGAUGUUAUCGUAGUUUAACACGUGCACAAGUGGAACAUAUUGACCAUAAUGUGGAGGAGUUUGAUAAUAGAUAUUGCAAUUCUCAAAUGAGAUGAGUAAUAAAUGAGAUCACAUGAUUUUUCUCCUGAUAAGUUAAUUUUGAGCCAUCGGUGUAGUAGGUGUUGUCUACCAUCUUCCGCACAUUCUUUGAAGAAUGAAAAUAAGAUGUCAAUGGAAAUAAGAUAUCAACUAUUUUUAAAUAAACAAUAUAAAUUACUUAAUAACUAUGCUUGAGAAACUCACAUAGCGGUAGAAUUGGAAGCGUAUCAACAAGGACCCAAAUGUCCAUAUUGUCUUGGGCGCUGUCAAGAUCACCAAGAUCCAUGGUGAGAAGCAUACCCUCAUGAAAAUCAUACAUCUUGCAAAGUGCUUCCCAAUUCGAGCAACAAAAAUGGGUUACACUCUGAGAAUUGUAUAGAUUUACUUCAAAAUCCAUACCAUGAUGGGUCCUUAGGUGAAUUUUCAUUGUCUUCAUACUUUCAUGAUCUUCAAAAUCCAUCCUCUCCAAGACAUAGCGUCUUGCAUGGCAUGGGAUAAGCUAGUAGUAUUGUAAAAGAAAAAAAAUUACAGGUUGAAGUAGUUGAAGUCGUGCUUAAUUAUGAAAAAAAACACGUCUCGUCAUUGCAUACCGUUUCAACAUCGAAGGUCUCCUGGAGCAUAAUGCUAAAACUUCGACCUUCAUCCAGGUGAGGCCUGUCUCACAGACCUCGGUCGUCGUUGCACCAGUCACACUCCCCAGGGAGACUUUCCUCUUCCGAUGACGACUUUUCCUAUGUUCGUAAUUCAAAGAUUAAACUUGUACAAUUAAAUAUAUGUACCACAAAAACUAAAUUAGAUCAGUAUUAUUCAUCACGGGUUGACUAUCGGUCUGCCCAGUCUUUUCUUGAAAACUCUCAGCUCACGUGGUGUAUAUAUUCGACCAUCGGUGAUGGUCGCUCCUCCCUUCGUCCCCGAGUGCAUUACACCAAAAUGUCGAGCGACUGAAAUUCACGGAAAAAUCCGGCAUGACCUUUGCUAAAAGAGGACAUAUGUCGCGCCUGAAAUUUGUUAGAAUGGAAAUUAAUCUACACUCCGGCAAAACAUAGGCCACUCGGAGGUGUAACCUGCAAACAUGGCCGGCCACUUGGGCAAACACAUAUCCUAUUUGAGCAACACAAGAUAUACAUGUCUAUAUCUACAUCAUAUGAGCAUUCAAACUUGAUGGUCAUUGCAUUUCAAUUGUUGAAAAUAUGAACAAAAACAUUUCAAAAUAUCUUAGGACUCAUAUUGACAUGGAGAUUUGACUGGUCUCACCUCGUGGUUGUAGGGGGUCGGUGAUGGGGACGACAGCGGGGAUGAUGGGGGGGCUCCUUGAUUUCUGCAACAACAAAAACCCUAUAAGCUAUCAACUAAUCAAAUGCAUACACAUUGCAUAGUGGGCUCCAAUUUGAGCAUUCAAAAUAGGAGUACUUCUCCUAUUUGAGCGUUCAAUAAGCAAAACUAAAUCAUCUCUUGCAUCCGUACAUCAUCGAAUAUUAUCAUUAAUACAUCUCGAAUAGUAUCAUACAGAUAACAUCACUAAUACAGCUAAAACCCUAGUGAACGACGGGUAUCCGCGCCGGCGGUGGACACCCAAAGAGAAGGAACCAUCAUAGGAUCAUAGCUCCAGUGAGAUCCCUGAAGAACCUACCAGGUGUUGGAGAACCUGCCCUCCAACGCAACCAUGUAGCGACGGACAUGCUCGUCCUCCUCGCUGACACGGUGACGUACCACCUCCGCGGGGUCCUCAAGCCUCCGCACCGUCACUGGCCCACGCGACCGCCACUAAAGAAGGUUCAGGUCAACGAUGGGCUGGCUCCUCACCAAGCUGCGCCCCCCAGAAGGUAGCACCUCCUAGUACCAGCCUGUCGGAGCCCGGUCCCAUACAUGGCCCCUCGGAUCAAGCAGGUGUCCUCCACCGAGUCGACGACGAGGAUGCGGCAUAGGCAUCAUCGACGCCGAUGCGGGAAUAAUUUCUUUAACUAAAAAAAUAACAACAAAUGUGACAUGUUCAAAAUAUAACAUGUCCACUUCAAAACAAAUCAACCUUGAAUACUGUUAAAUACACCUAAAAAUAAACUAGUACUAUUAAUUUUCUUACUAAAAAUAAACUAGUUCUAUACUAAAAUUUUAAUUAUACUAGUUCUAUUAGUUCGACUAGUUCAACUAAGCAUUUACUAUAAAUAAAAAUAAACUAGUUCUUAACUAAAAAUAAACUAGUUCAACUAGUUCUAUUAAUUUUCUUACUAAUUCUAUUAAACACUUACUACAAAUAGUAAAAAACCUACAUUAUACAUAGUAAAAAAACUACAGUAUAAAACAGAAAAAAUAGAGAUGGANNNNNNNNNNNNNNNNNNNNNNNNNNNNNNNNNNNNNNNNNNNNNNNNNNNNNNNNNNNNNNNNNNNNNNNNNNNNNNNNNNNNNNNNNNNNNNNNNNNNNNNNNNNNNNNNNNNNNNNNNNNNNNNNNNNNNNNNNNNNNNNNNNNNNNNNNNNNNNNNNNNNNNNNNNNNNNNNNNNNNNNNNNNNNNNNNNNNNNNNNNNNNNNNNNNNNNNNNNNNNNNNNNNNNNNNNNNNNNNNNNNNNNNNNNNNNNNNNNNNNNNNNNNNNNNNNNNNNNNNNNNNNNNNNNNNNNNNNNNNNNNNNNNNNNNNNNNNNNNNNNNNNNNNNNNNNNNNNNNNNNNNNNNNNNNNNNNNNNNNNNNNNNNNNNNNNNNNNNNNNNNNNNNNNNNNNNNNNNNNNNNNAGGUGGAGGGAGGAGGGGGCGGCUGUAGGACGAGGGAGGAGGGCGCGGUGGGAGGACGAGGGAGGGGAGGAGGGAGGAGGGAGGAUGAGGGAUGGAGAGAGUACCUCGAUGGAGGAGCAGCGCGGCAGCGGCGGUGGACGACAGGGCGUACGGGGGAGAGUGACUGAGAGGGAGAGUGAGUGAGAGGGUCGUCCGCGUGGGGAGGAUAAGGUAGUGUUAGUAGUAGCGCGGGUUCGUGAAAAGCGCUACUGUGAUGGAGCAUAACAGUAGCGCUGGGUAGGGGUACGCGCGACUGCUAAGUGGGGCUAGCCAUGUGCGCCUGGUUCAAACUUAGCAGUAGCGCGUUUUGCUAGAACGCACUAAUGCUAAAAUGAUAGCAGUAGCGCGGUUUAUUUACACGCACUACUACUAAGUAGCAGUAGUGAAAGAUUUUGUGCUACUGCUAGAAGUGUAAUAAUGAAGUACUUGAUUAGACUAAAGCUUCUACUGAACCCUCUCAGGUAAACACCAUGAUGGUGUUGCAUCUACCCUUAUAUGCUUAUGUCUGGAACAAAUGCUCUGCUUUCAGAUUUAUCUCUAUAACAAAUACACUAUUCGAGGAAAUGUUAGAGUUUUCCCCGGAUUUAAAUUUUAUACUGAAAUAUGUAAUUUUGAUUAGCAGUAUAAGGGUCCGUAAUAUCCCAUUCAAGAUAUGUAUUGACAGUAACGUGAAAGGCGCUCUCAUAGGUGUGUAAUUUAUGAUCUUAAGAUGCUCUAUGCGCUUGUGGUUCCAUGAGUUUAUGGAAAACUAGUUGUUAGCUAGUUUUUGGUAAAAUCCAUUUUGUGAGCAGUUUUGUGAAUAAUCAGUAUAGGAAAAAUAGUGUUUGGGAUUAGGAAACUGUAAAGAUGGACAUGCGAUUUACAAGUUUAUAGGAAUUGUGUUUUGUAUAUACUAUCUAUCCUAUCAACCCUAGAUAAGUUGUGAUCUCUAUAAUGUCAUCAACCCUAUUAAGUUUUGUAUAUACUACAGUUCUGUCAUGUUUGGACUCCCGACAGAAUCAAGGUAGUUGUACACUUUGUACUCUGUGCAUGUCACACACACCAUGAUUAUCUACUCAUUGUUAAGUGCUGAGUAUGUGUUGGGAAGAUAUCCAACUAGUUGGCUUGAUAUCGGGCACAUGCAGGCAGUACUCCAAAGUCAACCAUAAAUCAUGAUGGGAUCAAGCUUACAUAAACAAGUAUUAUCAUGCAUGUUCGUAUGAAAGUCCAGUAUCAGCUAUGAGAUCAUGAAUGGCAAACUGGAGGGGCUAAUUUAUGAGUGCGUGUGCUUAUAAAUAGGAUGUCUAGCUAGCUAGUACUCACAUCAACACAACCAAGAAAAGAACUUCCAUUUUUCUAGAUAGAGCUUUGAGCCGCAACAUCAGCCUUCCACUCUUGCAAUGGCCUCCAGCUCCGUGCUUAAGAUGGCCGCCGUUUUCAUGCCGGCCCUAUUCGCUAGCCAGGCGCUCAUGGCUACGCCGGUGAUAGCAGAAGAACUAGGUAACCGGCACAACCUUUUGGAGAAGUAUGAUGAGACGCAAUGUCGCGGAUACGCCACAUGCAAUAUUGUAUGCUUCUACCAAGUUUUUCAAGUCUGCAUCAUCUACAGCCCUGUUGCAUUCUGCAACACUUGGGCGUUUGGGUUCUGCAAGGACAAGAGAUAUUGAGGCAUAAAUGGAAGUGCAGCUCCUUUUGGGAUGCAUGCACAACUACACGAACAACUCACCUCAUCAGUGUCAACUAUUGUUCCUUGGUUAUUGGCGUUGUGCGUUGUAAGAGUCCUAAUAUGUUCCUCCCUUUAUUUCCAGCUAUCAUGUAUCAGGGGCUUAACCAACUAUUUAAUUACUUCAUUGUCUGUCAUCAUGGUACUUGUUUAACUAAAAAUGCUCCGUCGGAUACAAAUGUAUGUGUCGUGUGAUUACAAAAUGGUUCCGCCGCUGCACCAUUUUUCGGUCCAUCAUGGCCAUAUAAGCAUGCUCUUUCUACCCAUACCCAUAAAUAUUUUUUCAUGAAUGACCAUUUGUUUGACAGAUUUUGGCAUGUGGUUCGACAAAAUGCCAUAAAAAAUAAAGGAUGCAAAAAUAUGAGGGAGCAUGAAGCUGAAUUGACACUAACCUUGUAAAUAUUUAACGUAGUAGACAAGAAAAAUACUACACAGGCCAUCACCACACCCAGUUUCGCUAGCUCAUCACAGAUGAUGCGAUGUUUGACAACAUAUACAUUUUAAACGGACACUCAAGGCCCAUACGUUGACCAGCGUUGCCUCCGUGUUAAUCCACGCCCACAGGGUACGAAAGUUUUUCGUCUGUAAGUCCCUAUCAUGUGGAACCCACGUCAGCUGUCAUGAUUGCGUCGGCUUUCAGCGGCCCACCCAUUGAGGUCGCCUGCCGACACUCUCUAGUAGUCAUCCAGGUGCUUGGGUCAUCCUUCUUCUGGCUAGAGUCGAUUUGGCAUCGAUCCUUUGGUCAUUUGCUUCAAUCCCCCAAGAGCGUCUAUCACUGCCCCUACUGCAGAUGCUACCGAAAAGAGUUCUGGAAUUGAGCGAGCAUUUUCUUGGACUAUCCUGAUCAAACAUCUCGCAUGCCUCAUUCUACCUUUGAAAACUGAAAUUUUAUCCAGGUACGAUAGAUCCGUGGGGAGUCAUUCCUUUGCCUCAGAAACCCGCAAUUCCCAGAUAGAAAAUCAUAUUUCCCGCUCCUCUAGUUUCUUAAACAAGCUCUAUUUCUUUUUCCAGCAGGGAUACUCCCAAAAAAGGGGCUUCCAUUCAAAGUGGAAAAAAAGAGACCGGUUUGUUCUCCCUCUUGGCCUAGCGGUUAAGUAGAUUGUAGGCCCCCUCCCAGGCCUCGCAACCAAGAGCCACUUGUCGACAGUUGACCAGGAAGACAAUAACUAUCGAGGCUAGAAUAGAUAGAUGAAACUCUAAAAUGUUUCACCUUCUUCUAUGGUCAUUCUUAUUUUCAUGAAGUUGAAGUUGUGCUCGCACAUGUAAGCUUCAUCAGGUUUGUGGACAUCACAACCCCCAUUCUCCUCUAUCUCUUCAACAUGCAAGCACUUCGUUAGGGCCGGUGUUUUAAUCUGACUAGCUCGAAGAGUCCCCAGAUGACCUCGAGUUGCUCCUGGCACCUUGCUAGGCAUGAUCUAUGGUUUUCUCCUCAUUCACAGUGAUGUCAUAAAUGAUUGGGACCAUUCACCUAGAAAGGAAAAUCAUUGAAUGGUAGUGAGCAAGGAGUUGGGCGUUUCUUAACUUCCAUUGCCAGAGUGGUUUUUUUACACCAGGGAACGUUCCACUUACUGUGACACCCCAAAACUUUGACCCUGUUUUAUUAAUUAAAAUUUUGCCAGGAAAUUAAAUUUUUUAUUUUCUGGGCUCCCUUUUGAUUUUUGAACCAUUUUUUCCCUCUUGUUAUUAUGGAGUUUUACCCAAAAAGAAAACCUUUCAAAUAUGUUAUUGGGCUUGUUUAACCUCUCAAGAAAAACUUUACUUUUCUUAGUAGAGCUAAUUACAUAAUUUAUUUGCUUGAUCUUUAUUUUCUUGAAAAAUGGUUUUCCAAGGUUAUAUGGCCAUAUUUGAACUACAACCAUUUGAUAAAUUCACUUAAAAUUCCAACCAAAAUUUGGAGAUGUCAGGUGAUGUUUUUAAAUCACUUUUAUGCAAAAAUAUCUUUUAUUCAUGAAAUAUUUUUAGCUCUACACCCAAUUUUCUUCUCUGGUCCAGUGGGCACUUUUGCACUACAACCCAUUUAAAUAUUUCUUUCUAGCUUCCACCAAAAUUAUGGGAUGUUAGUAGCAGCAUAUGUUUGAACUUUAUGCAAAAACCCAGUGAUGUUCUUUGAAAUUUUUGAGUGAAUCAACCUCAUCUUCAUUCUGGUCCAACAUGAUGGGUGGUACAGCAUCCGUAUUCUUCCUUGCUCUUUGGCCCUUGAUUCUUUCCCGUGCUUGUAGACCACCCUACAAAACCCCUAAGUCAAUGAGAAUGCAACCAUUGGAAUAUUUUUGGUCCAUGAGAUGAUGCCAUUUACCUCCUGUCCAGAAUUGAAGUUUUGCAAAACUUGCACUAGCAAGUUUGUGCUUUUCACAAACUAACCUCACCACCCUCUUGUUCAUCUAAAGAGACUAGGAUCUGGAAGAUUUGGCCACUCCAAGAAAAGCCUAGGUGCCUGUGGCAUUUUUUCAAACACCUGGAGUGCAUGGACAGUAUUGGCAUGAGUUUUUGUUUGCAUUAUGAACUUGGUCUCCUGACCUAACCACCUUGUCCCUUGAUCUCCCCACUAUCAAUAACCUAGUCAUGUUGCUUUCCAACCUCGCCCGAGCGCUCUGGAGUGCCAUGGCAUUUCGCCGAGCAGCUGGUGGGCGUGCACUGGGCGUGCCCAGAGCGCGCCAACUGCAGCCGCACACCCGAGCCGCCGCGUCGCGCGUACUCCAUGCCCCUUGACACUUGGCCAUCCGCAGCCAGCACGCCACGUAUCCUCCUGCACUGCAACGCCACCCCGACCACCCCUGGCACCCCACAGUGACACCAUCAGGUUGGCCGUGGCGGCUAGCUGACGGCCGCAUUCAGGCCCCGGCCGUGUCGGCGCCGCCCGAUCCACCCCGGCUCGCCACCUGUCCCUGGGAGCCGCGCAAGCUUAUCCCCUCGCUCUUCGGCUAGCUCUCGUCGCCUCCAUGUCACCCUGCAAGCUACAGAACGUCGGUUCGCCGGCGACCUUAUCCUCGGCCGCGGAACCGCGAUUGCCACGCUAUAUAAGAAGCACCCGAGCUCGUCCAGGCCUCACAUAGCCUCUCUCACUCCCUCACCGACCCACCCAUAGCAGUACGAAGACCAAGGAAGUCGUCUUCUUCCUCUCCGGCAACUCCUGCCGCCGCCACUGCCCCGGCCAUUCCGGCGCCACCAGGACCUCCCCCUCUCCACUCUCUUCACCAGGAGAUCUUCCUCCCUCUCGUGAGUGCACCCCACGCUCAAUUUUUCGUCGGGAACCACCAUAGCCCCGGCCCACAAAUCCAAUCGAAGCCGCCAUCCGCCGCGAGGCUCGUCGCCGACGACUCCCUCCAUCCCCGUCACUCCCUCGACCACCGGAAGAACCACCCCAGUCUUGCGGAUCCAUCCCCACCCUCGGGGGCCCGCGAGGAGCCACCUAACGCCGGUGACGAUCGCCAGAGCCCCCGCCUCUGUUCGGCCAGAGGAAGAAGAGGGGAGGGGACUGGUCAAACCUGACCAGUGGGGCCCCUGGACCCACUGUCAAGGACCCAGCCCGCCUCCACACGUGUUUAAGUGAAGGCGUAUAACUCCCCAGUACGUUUCCCCUACACCGAAAACGUAUUCCGUCUGAAGCGUUUUCUUUUAUAUCAUUUAAAAAAAACAGAUUUUUACCAGGACUUUGACUGGCUAUAACUUUUUAAAUAUAACUCCAAAUGAAUUGAUUCUUUUUCCUACAUCUCUCAAAUUCUGUCUAGUUUUUCUUAAGAUUUAUUUAAAAAUUGUUCAAACAAUUUUUUUGUGCUGUUUUGAAAUUGUGUGUUAAUUCCAAUAUUUUCAAAAUAGGAUUUUGGGGAGAGGAGAAAACUUUCAAAGUUUUGGAAUGCACCCUGACUCUCCACACCUUGAAGGCAAGCAUCCUGAACCAUGGCAUAAUAUUUUUGGUGUGUUAGUUGACGUGGUUAUAACACCACCUUACUUCGGAAAAACUCGUUAUUUUAUGUGGUAAUUUGAUCUUUUGCAUGAAUGCAUAUUAGUGAUUUUCCUUGCCGUUGGAAAUGAAUAUACUUAUGAUGGUAAUCAUCCUCAUGUGCCUUGGAAGGCCUCUGCCUUGGGUAGGCGUGAGCUUGUCGCCGGUCUCCGUUGGGACGGUUAUGUCCGGUAUGGCAUAGUAAGGUAUAAUGAGCGGUGAUCCUGUUGAUUGAAAUAUGUUUGUUUUACAUAUCAUGCAGGUAAUACUUAAGCCUCCUGAGUUGGCCAUAGAUAGAGUCUUGUUCCAGUAACCCCCAUAAUUCUUUCGUGCUGCCACUUAUACCUGCCGUAGGUAGGGUAUGGUUCAGUAAGUUGUCAACCCUUGCCUUGGCACACACCGUACGGAGAGGCCAUGGUGGAAGAUACCGGCUGCAUCCGGUAGGCAUGCCACCUGGUCCGGGAGCAUGGGUGUUUCCGGUUGGGACCGAGAGGAGGGCACCCCUUAGAGCGCGCGAUAGAAAUUUGAUCCUUUGCUACGCGAGGUUGUAGCCUCCCCACUUAGAGUUUUGCUUAACAAGUGUCGUGGGUGAUUCCAGACACGAGUAAAGUUAAGCUGGUGUGUGCAAGUCAGGCGUGUUUUCGACUAAAAGACCGUAGACGGAAUUAGUCCCGAUGGACUAAAAAAAUCCGUUACUCAUGGGUAAAGAGUACACCCUCUGCAGAGGUAUUAAACCUAUUCGAAUAGCCGUGUCCAUGGUUACGGACUACAGUCUCGGUCGGGUCAAGUGUCGGUCUUAGUGUCGGUCUCCGGAGGAGAAACUGCUAAACCAGAACAUGGAUCAUGAUUUGUGACUUGUGUUGAUUAUGAUGAUUAUGAUUAGUUUUUUAAUCGUGGACUAAAUAUUGCCAUUACUUGAUUUAUUGAGUAUCCCUGGGACGGUUCUACCUCCUGGAUAUUCACCAUAAUCGUUUUCUUUUUAAGCCCUUUAUGUGGCGUCGCACAGACGCCCGACUGUGGCAUGUUUGUUAUUUAUUUUAUAAGCCCUUUAUGUGGUGUCGCACAGACGCCCGACUGUGGCAUGUUUGUUAUUUAUUUUAUAAUCCCUUUAUGUGGCGUCGCACAGACGCCCGACUUUGGCAUGUUUGUUAUUUAUUUUACAAGCCCUUUAUGUGGCGUCGCACAGACGCCCGUCUGUGGCAUGCUUGUUAUUUAUUUACCAUAUAAGCCCUUUAUGUGGAGUCGCUUAGACGCCCGACUGAGGCAUGCUUCAUAUCAUGGCCCUUUCGAGGCGUCGCUUUAGACACCCGAUCGGUGCAUGUAAAUUCUACCCCAUUAUUGCAUAUCCAUGUUGCAUAUAAAUAACCUGCUUGCAUGCAUCAGAGAUUUUAUUUUAUGACUGAUGAUGUGAUCAUAGAAUGUUUCAGCUCAUGAUCAUCAUUUAUAUUAUACCCGUGUUCAUAAUGUUUGCGAGUACAUUCAAAGUACUCACUGGCUUGUCCCUUGCUAUUGUCUUGGCUAGAUUUCUUACAUGGAGAGGAGCGUUGCGAUGAUAGCCCCGGAACCUAAGCAAUGGUGAUAGCAGCCUCGCGAAGAUAGGAGUUAACCUGGUCAGCUGUUCCUGUGGGAAAUGGAGUUCCAUGGACACUGAUGAUCCACAAAUCGCUUCCGCUAUCAACCACUAGAAAACAUUUGAUGUACUCCUAGGCCGGAAUGGUCUUGUACUACAUAUUAUAAAAUGUUGCUUGGAAUUUCUGUAUCAAGUUGUUGCCUCAUCAGCUAACAGUAAUCCUGGGGCUGGUGAGCACAAGGGCCAUUUUCUGGAAAUUAAUACCCGAAAAACCGGUCGCAACAAACUUGGUAUCAGAGCCAGGCUGACCAUUGGCUAAUCCUAUUUAGCCAGGUCGAAAAACCUAGGAAAAACCAACCCACCAGACCCUAACCAAACAGCAGCCAAGCUUCCCGUGCAAGAUAGCCACACAGUGACCCCGACACUUUUGGCAGUCGGUGCCCAACCCAUCAGCCUAGCCUGUCGAUCACCCGCCAGUGACCGACACAUAAUCUGUCUUAUUCGCAAGCGUGCGAAGGAAGACUCCGUUCCCUUUUUCUAUAAAAGGGCAUGCUAGCCUCAACACAGCACAGCCCGGCCUCUUCCUCAAACCAAGUUAUAAUGCCUGGUCCCGUCGUGCACAAUGAGACCACAGCAAACAACCUCGGAGGUUUUGUGACCGUGCUAGCAAACCUCACAUGCCGUGCCUAUGCAUUAGAAGAACCCCCAGAAUAUGUAGUGUACCAAGGGUCCGUGAGCGGUGAAAGCCGUCAAUUCUGGGCCAAAGUGCACAUCUAUGGUAGGGGUCUGUCGCCAGAACGCCCCUACAGGUUCACCGGAAGGACAACUUCCUUUGAGCCACAAGCCAUCCAACUAGCCGCUCGAGAAGCUAUAGUUCAACUCCGCCAUUUGUCGCCCAGAGUUAACUGUCGCUCGUUCUACUACUACCCCAGCAGUGACGGAUAUGGUAGACCACCCCAAGUUGCCAACGGAGAUCACGAGACGGAUCCUGCUUUAUUGCAUCUGGUGCGCUAUGUAAGUGCACUAGAGGAUUUGUUCGAUCAAAUCACCAUUAAUCUGAUCGCAGCUCGUGGCGAACUGAUUCGCCGAGCCCCAACUAGAGGAGAAGAUGAGCCCGACGCUGACAACCCAGUCGUGUUGUUCGGAUAACCAAUCGAGACCGUGAGGUCAGCCCCGGCCAUCAACCAAGGUGCCUUGAUGACCCCAGAAGUAAUUCGUCGCCUUUUGGAAACGCACUCCAACGGGAUUGUGGCCAACAAUCCCCGAGAUGGUCAUCAUCGCUACCCCGACCCUGCAGUUCCUCAACCCCUUCCAGCUAAUCCCGACGGUGAAAACCGUGGAGAAACCUCGACGUCCACGAGGCAAGCCCGAUUAGAUAUUAACGAGGUAGACUAAAGCCGCUCGAGUAGUACCGAGUCUCAAUAUAUCCUCGUCUGGUAACUGUGUGAUCCUGUACCGCCAUCAUUAAAUGUUGUUUGAUUGUGUGCCCCUGUUUUUAAUAGUGGCCAUACAUGAGUAUGUUGGUGUACGAUUGCAUUUUUUUUAAGCCGGGCGUAGUUGCCAACCGCGACGACACAAUAAUUUGUGCUAUAAAUAAAUUUUUAGUUUCUACUAACAGGAAUGGUUCUUUCCAAACAACUCUUAACAAAUCUCGAGGACGAGAUUUUUCUUAAGGGGGGUAGUGUUGUGACAUCCCAAAAUUUUGACCUUGUUUUAUUAUUAAAAUUUUGCCAGGAAAUUACAAUUUUUAUUUUCUGGGCUCCCUUUUGAUUUUUGAACCAUUUUUUCCCUCUUGUUAUGAUGGAGUUUUCCCCCAAAAGAAAACCUUUCAAAUAUGUUGUUGGGCUUGUUUAACCUCUCAAGAAAAACUUUUCUUUCAUUAGUAGAGCUAAUUACAUAAUUGAUUUGCUUGAUCUUUAUUUUCUUGAAAAAUGGUUUUCCAAGGUUAUAUGGCCAUAUUUCAACUACAACCAUUUGAUAAAUUCACUUAAAAUUCCAACCAAAAUUUGGAGAUGUCAGGUGAUCUUUGUAAAUCACUUUUAUGCAAAAAUAUCUUUUAUUCAUGAAAUAUUUUUAGCUCUACACCCAAUUUUCUUCUCUGGUCCAGUGGGCAAUUUUGCACUACAAUCGAUUUAAAUAUUUCUUUCUAGCUUCCACCAAAAUUAUGGGAUGUUAGUAGCAGCAUAUGUUUCAACUUUAUGCAAAAACCCAGUGAUGUUCUUUGAUAUUUUUGAGUGAAUCAACCUCAUCUUCAUUCUGGUCCAACAUGAUGGUUUGUACAGCAUCCGUAUUCUUGCUUGCUCUUUGGCCCUUGAUUCUUUCCCCUGCUUGUAGACCACCCUACAAAAUCCCUAAGUCCAGGAGCAUGCAACCAUUGGAAUACUUUUGGUCCAUGAGAUGAUGCCAUUUACCUCCUGUCCAGAAUUGAAGUUCUGCAAAACUUGCACUAGCAAGUUUGUGCUUUUCACAAACUAACCUCACCACCCUCUUGUUCAUCUAAAGAGACUAGGAUCUGGAAGAUAUGGCCUAUCCAAGAAAAGCCUAGGUGCCUGUGGCAUCUUGUCAAACACCUGGAGUGCAUGGACAGUAUUGGCAUGAGUUUUUGUUUGAAUUAUGAACUUGGUCUCCUGACCUAACCACCUUGUCCCUUGAUCUCCCCUCUAUCAAUAACCUAGUCAUGUUGCUUUCCAACCUCGGCCGAGCGCUCUGGAGUGCCAUGGCAUUUCGCCGAGCAGCUGGUGGGCGUGCACUGGGCAUGCCCAGAGCGCGCCAACUGCAGCCGCGCACCCGAGCCGCCGCGUCGCGCGUACUCCGUGCCCCUUGACACUUGGCCAUCCGCAGCCAGCACGCCACGCAUCCUCCUGCACCGCAACGCCACCCCGACCACCCCUGGCACCCCAUAGUGCCACCGUCAGGUUGGCCGUGGCGGCUAGCUAACGGCCGCAUUCAGGCCCCGGCCAUGUCGGCGCCGCCCGAGCCACCCCGGCUUGCCACCAGCCCUUGGGAGCCGCACAAGCUUAUCCCCUCGCUCGUCGGCUAGCUCUCGUCGCCUCUACGUCGCCCUGCAAGCUACAGAACGUCGGUUCGCCGGCGACCUUAUCCUCGGCCGCGGAACUGCCAUGGCCACGCUAUAUAAGAAGCACCCGAGCUCGUCCAGGCCUCUCUCACUCCCUCACCGACCCACCCAUAGCAGUAGGAAGACCAGGGAAGUCGUCUUCUUCCUCUCCGGCAACUCCUGCCGCCGCCACUGCCCCGGCCAUUCCGGCGCCACCAGGACCUCCCCCUCUCCACUCUCUUCACCAGGAGAUCUUCCUCCCUCUCGUGAGUGCACCCCACGCUCAAUUUUUGGUCGGGAACCACCAUAGCCCCGGCCCCCAAAUCCAACCGAGGCCGCCAUCCGCUGCGAGGCUCGUCACCGACGACUCCCUCCAUCCCCGUCACUCCCUCGACCACUAGAAGAACCACCCUAGUCUUGAGGAUCCAUCCCCACCCUCGGGGGCCUGCGAGGAACCGCCUAACACCGGCGACGAUCACCGGAGCCCCCGCCUCUGUUCGGCCAAAGGAAGAAGAGGGGAGGGGACUGGUCAAACCUGACCAGUGGGGCCCCUGGACCCACUGGCAGCGACCCAGCCCGCCUCCACACGUGUUUAAGUGAAGGCGUAUAACUCCCCAGUACGUUUCCCCUACACCGAAAACGUAUUCCGUCUGAAGCGUUUUCUUCUAUAUCGUUUUAAAGAAAACAAAUUUUUACCAGGACUUUGACUGGCUAUAACUUUUUAAAUAUAACUCCAAAUGAAUUGAUUAUUUUUCCUACAUCUUUCAAACAAUUUUUUUGUGCCAUUUUGAAAUUGUGUGUUAAUUCCAAUAUCGUUGUAUGACAAUUUUUUUGUGCUGUUUUGAAAUUGUGUGUUAAUUCCAAUUUUUUUGUGCCAUUUUGAAAUUGUGUGUUAAUUCCAAUAUUGUUAUAUGACAAUUUUUUUGUGCUGUUUUGGAAUGCACCCUGACUCUCCACACCUUGAAGGCAAGCAUCCUGAACCAUGGCAUAAUUUUUUUGGUGUGUUAGUUGACGCGGUUAUAACACCACCUUACUUCUGAAAAACUCGUUAUUUUAUGUGGUAAUUUGAUCUUUUGCAUGAAUGCAUAUUAGUGAUUUUCCUUGCUGUUGGAAAUGAAUAUACUUAUGAUGGUAAUCAUCCUCAUGUGCCUUGCAUGCAUGCCGGAAAGGAAUCCGUGAAGGCCUCUGCCUUGGGUAGUCGUGAGCUUGUCACCGGUCUCCGUUGGGACGGUUAUGUCCGGUAUGGCAUAGUAAGGUAUAAUGAGCGGUGAUCCUAUUGAUUGAAAUAUGUUUGUUUUACAUUUCAUGCAGGUAAUACUUAAGCCUCCUGAGUCGGCCAUAGAUCGAGUCUUGUUCCAGUAACCCCGAUACUUGUUUCGUGUUGCCACUUGUCCCUGCCGUAGGUAGGGUAUGGUUCAGUAAGUUGUCAACCCUUGCCUUGGCACACACCGUACAGAGAGGCCAUGGUGGAAGAUACCGGCUGCAUCCGGUAGGCAUGCCACCUGGUCCGGGAGCAUGGGUGUUUUCGGUUGGGACCGAGAGGGGGGCACCCCUUAGAGCGCGCGAUAGAAAUUUGAUCCCAUGCUACGCGAGGUUGUAGCCUCCCCACUUAGUGUUUUGCUUAACAAGUGUCGUGGGUGAUUCCAGACACGAGUAAAGUUAAGCUGGUGUGUGCAAGUCAGGCGGGUUUUCGACUAAAAGACCGUAGACGGAUUAGUCCCGAUGGACUAAAGAAAUCCGUUACUCGUGGGUAAAGAGUACACCCUCUGCAGAGGUAUUAAACCUAUUCGAAUAGCCGUGUCCAUGGUUAAGGACUACAGUCUGGGUCGGGUCAAGUGUCGGUCUUAGUGUCGGUCUUCGAAGGAGAAACUGCUAAACCAGAACAUGGAUCAUGAUUUGUGACUUGUGUUGAUUAUGAUGAUUAUGAUUAUUUUUUUAAUCCUGGACUAACUAUUGCCAUUACUUGAUUUAUUGAGUAUCCUUGGGACAGUUCUACCUCCUGGAUAUUCACCAUAAUCGUUUUCUUUUUAAGCCCUUUAUGUGGCAUCGCACAAACGCCCGACUGUGGUAUGUUUGUUAUUUAUUUUAUAAGCCCUUUAUGUGGCGUCGCACAGACGCCCGACUGUGGCAUGUUUGUUAUUUAUUUUAUAAGCCCUUUAUGUGGCAUCGCACAGACGCCCGCCUGUGGAAUGUUUGUUAUUUAUUUUACAAGCCCUUUAUGUGGCGUUGCACACACGCACGACUGUGGCAUGCUUGUUAUUUAUUUACCAUAUAAGCCCUUUAUAUGGUGUCGCUUAGACGCCCGACUGAGGCAUGCUUCAUAUCAUGGCCCUUUCGAGGGGUCGCUUCAGACACCCGAUCGGUGCAUGUAAAUUCUACCCCAUUAUUGCAUAUCCAUGUUGCAUAUAAAUAACCUGCUUGCAUGCAUCAGAGAUUUUAUUUUAUGACUGACGAUGUGAUCAUAGAAUGUUUCAGCUCAUGAUCAUCAUUUAUAUUAUACCCGUGUUCAUAAUGUUUGCGAGUACAUUCAAAGUACUCACUGGGUUGUCCCUGGCUAUUGUCUUCGCCAGAUUUCUUGCAUGGAGAGGAGCGUUGCGAUGACAGCCCCGGAACCUAAGCAAUGGUGAAAGCAGCCUCGCGAAGAUAGGAGUUACCUGGUCAGCUUUUCCUAUGGGAAAUGGAGUUCCAUGGACACUGAUGAUCCACAAACCGCUUCCUCUAUCAACCACUAGAAACCAUUUGUUGUACUCCCAGGCCGAAAUUGUCUUGUACUACAUAUUAUAAAAUUUUGCUUGGAAUUUCUGUAUCAAGUUGUUCCCUCAUCAGCUAACAGUAAUCCUGCGGCUGGUGAGCACAAGGGCCAUUUUCUGGAAAUUAAUACCCAGAAAACCGGUCGCAACACUUACAUUGCACCCAUGAUAAUCACUAAAAUCAAAAAAAUAGCUAAAUAAUUUGAAUUUGCGGGGUCGGCUGCGACCAAUUGUUUAGGGUGCUUAUUUGGUGGCCAAAUGACGUCCGAGGAGCUCUUUACAUAUAAACAUAUCAAAUUUUGUCCUCAAAGUUAUGUACGCAUAGUUCGAGCAGAAGUUGUAUUUUGGAUAUAUGAAGCUCAUUUGAUAAUAUUUGCUCACCAAACUAUGCAAGCACCUGAAACACUUGUUCAAUAAUGCCCCAAAGUUUUUUUCUAUUUGUUAUGAUUUUACUCUUCAGCGUGGGUAAGUUGCACUUCAGUGUAGCCACAACUUUUCCUUCCCAUCCCGCAUCUCUGAUGGUAGGAAGCUCGAGGUACCGGUCAGGAGUUUUUAGUUGGAAGGAUUUGGCGAUCGUGACUCCAAGGUCAUAUGUAUCCAGGGGUACUAUUCUAGGGACAAAGCCAUUAGGAGUUGCUUUUGAUCGUGAUCCUUUUGAGCAGUUAUGGCAAUGCCCAAACUAUGCUACAUUAACAUACAUGAAUUUGUAUGACAGUGGGAAGUAAUGUCGAAUUAUGAAAAUGAUAGAGGGAGACAAUCUUCCCCUUUCGGCCCCCACGAUGCGAAUAACAACCUUACUCCUACUUGUCUAGAAUUAUAUGUAUCAACAGGUAUAGUGUGUGUGAGGGGGGAGGGGGAUCCUGCGAGCCCUGUACACUAGGUUUCUAGCACAUUUGGUGACCAGUCUUGACCAAAUGUACAAGUUCAGAUCUAGUCUAGCCUGAAGCUAGGGCUUCCAUUCAGUUAUCUUGGCCCUCCAAGCAGAAGUUGUCACCUCUUUUUCACGUGCUAAUGUAUUUAUAAAUGGUUUGGGGUCAGAUGGACGCCUUCCUUUCCUAGCCUCCCGUUCGUGAAAAGCUUGAUAAUUCCACUGUCAUGACAUGUCCUCCCUCCUUUAAAGGAGUUCCUGGGGGUACCCGUCAUCCAAAUUUAACUUCUAGGAGUGACCCUUCAUGGGAGUGGGUUUGACAUUCGCGAAAGUUUCCUUCAGGCUUACAUGGCUUGGCAUGGGCCCGAUCCACCUUUUUCCUACAACAUAUCACCUACCCGUAUACUACACCUUCAACCAAUGUGAGUAAACAACCCCUUGGUUGCCCGCUCCACCUAGAUACGUGCUGCCAAAACCAACUCCCGAUGUUCCUGUAUCUGAAGUGUUGACCAGAUCUGAACCCGGUGGAUACUUGAGCAGAUAACUUAAAGAGGAGAAUAUAUCUUCUUUCUUCAAAUUUUGCAUUCGUUAUAUAUUUCUCUCAAAUCUUGCUAAAACUAUUUUUUAAUACACAUGAAAUUUCCAUGUAACAAUUUGCGUAAAACAUCAUCUACACAACUAAUGAAUCAACUGGGAGGCUACAUGCAUAUAUCUAAUUUGCUCGUGGUAAUUGUUUAAAUAUGUCAAGUUGAAUCAAUGAUAAAUAAAAAACAAAAUAAGAAAUUAAUUAUAAAAUAUUUCAAUAUUAAUUAAUGUGGAUGAGAGGCAUAAUGUAACCAUGACUCCCUGAUAGGAAGGUAGAACAAACGGCAGGGUUGAUUUUAUAUCCGUGUGUUGCUUCCGAUAAUUUACCUGUCGGCAAACAAAAAGAACAAUGAUAGAUCAAACUAUGUGCUUUUGGUUAGCAGCAUACGCGAAACACAGUUGAAGAACUGUAAUGAUGGUAUGCCAUGAGAUGCUUUCUUAGGUGACUAAUUUAUGAUUUUGAGAUGCCCUUUACACACUUACCUAAGUUGCACCACUAGGAAAAGGCAUGCUAGUGGCGCACCAGUUUUGCCUACUAAUGGCGCACUACUGGUGCGCCACUAGCAUCAUGCCAUUAGAAUUAAAUUCUAAUGGCGCACUACUCGUGCACCAUUAGUAUCUGGUGUUCUAAUGGCGCACUAAGCAGUGCGCCAUUAGAAUUGCCUAUGGUGCGCCAUUAGAAUUCCUCCAAGGGGGGCAUAUGUACCCAUGUGCUUUUGCUUUCUAAUGGCGCACUAGUGGAUGAUGCGCCAUUAGUGUGAUUAUUACAGUGCGCCAUUAGUGUCUUGUGUAGUGCGCCAUUAGUAUUAUUAUUAGUUUUUUUUGUUUUUUUCUGAUUUUUUCACAGGUUACAAAAUAUUUUAUUUGACAGAAUAUAGACAGCACCUCACAGCAACAGCAGAUUCAUCGAAUACAAUAGAAGGUUAGUCUCCGAAUACAAUUCAUCAUAUUAGUCUCCGAAUACAAAAGACCGAACGAAGAUAGAACAUUACAAGUCUCGGAGACCGCGAGUAGCGAGUUUGUCUUCACAUUACAAGUCUAUAUAUAUCAUCUAAACUACCAUCACAUAGAAGAGAGCUGCGGUCAUCACGAUGAGCAUCAUCACGAUGAAACUGGUCUUCACCAGGUUCCUCCAAUGCUCCCUCCUCUCUCCCGCUAGAUAGCAGGCGUAUCUAGAUUCCACCUCUGCCCUAGUGAUGUACCCUUUGUAACUGUUACCGCUGAAAUGGUGAACCUGUCUCCGACACUCAUCCCAGUCGUCCUAGACUCUGGGAACCUUACCCUUGUACACGACAUACGACGGCAUCUCUAUGCACAAGCCAGACAACAGACAAUACAUAAGCAAUAUAUAAGUAUGCAACAAAAGGAUCGAAAGAGAAAAGCAAGACAUUAAUAGCACGAUUCAUGGUCCUACUAAUAAAUAGCAUCUAUUACAUCUAAGUUGAACGACUGUCCAAAUCAAAGAGACAUACAAGUUCAUUAAAGUUUAAUUACAACAUGAGCUAAUCGAUGUUUCAGAACUACAAAUAGCAUUACUACUUUCGACUCGACUCAUGGGGCCGGAGCGUGGAUGAAGCCGCCGUCUUUCGUGAUGGUCAUGAAGUCGCGGGCGUUGUCAGCCUGCAUUUGAAGUGUUGUGUCUAUCUCACUGUUGCACGGUUGCUCUCUGAGGUAGAACUGCCCCGAGGUACGAAGGUCAUCUUGAUGGAUGAUUUCUUCAAACUCCGACUGGAUGCGAAAAAAUUCUUGUCGGAGGUCUGCAUCCUGGAUUUCCGCCAAGCUUGCGGCCCAAUCUUUGACAUUAUUUGGUGGCAGAAGGUGAUUAUGGUCCCGUACGAUCGCCCUCAUGUGAUGGAGGGCGUAGUAGGCAUCCUUCUGACCGCUAGGCGGCAGCUUGACGCAGGGGAACAUUGUAUUGUGGGUGAACACGUGCCUGCCGUACCUACGAACUGGCCUCUUAAAGGUGCCUCAGAUGUGGCGUAGCCGGGGAGAGCAUCAUCAAGAACUUUCUUGAUAUUUGUGUAGUCUAUCUUGGAGUCACGGUCCGGAUCAAAAUACGUGGCCGUGGAAUAUUUCGGGCUUAAGAGGAUGAGUGUGCAAUGUGUGUCACUGCACAGAAAACAGAAUGUUAGAAAAAAAAGAACGAUCAAAAAUCUAAUAAAUCAUAUGUUACGGGGCGGUGAGGGGAUGACUUACUCGGGAAAGUAAGGCACGAGGAAGUUAUCCUUAUCUGGGUUUUCCAGAAUGACGCCUUCGAGGUGUGAACUUGCGACUUGCCGGUCCCCAACGCUGCCCAAGAUCUUGGCAUGCAUGUAGAAGGGGUCGACUAUCACGAUGUUCGAGGUCUUGUCUCGAAUGAUCCGCAUCUCCAUACUCAGUGAAAAUAGCCAAACGAAGGUGUAGUGCAAUGGAUGAAGAUUAAACAUAGCAAAGAUGUCAUCAAACUGCAGGGCGAUCGUACCCCCGAUGGCACCAUCCACAAAGCCCUUGCCCUUUGGCACCUUGGCCACGAAAACCGGGUAUGCCACAUCUUUCUGGGAGAGACGCCACUUCUCCAAAGAUAGAACGUUGUCAUGCAAACUCCACAUAGCACCGGUUGCAGCAUUGAGCAUAUUUGUCGGUAGCAUCGCCCUACCCGCCACAUGCACCCUCCUUGAGAUAUCCUGAGGUGAAGGUGGCCCGUCCUGAGCACGGAUCAUACUCGGUGCCGGCUGGCUCGCACCGGCGCCCUUCGCAGUCUUUCGUUUCCAUCCCUUCUUCUUGAUCUGCUGUAAUGGGACUGAGUUCUGCUCACAGACCGCCUUCUUGAGUGUGUUGGGCUGAUAAUAUUUCGCACCUCAGCUAUCUGAGGCUCGGUGAAGGAGGGAGCUGGAGGUGUCUCCUGAGAACUGAACGCCAGAUGACGCCUGUUGCAAUUGGAUUUCUCCGCCGUACCAGCUAGAUCGCGAUCGUCUUGGUUGGGUUCUGGAGAAGGAGGCCCGCCGAACUCGUCACCGUACCCAUGUUCGGCAAAGUACUUAUCGACGUUGGUAAAUGUACCGUCAUUGUUGUCAUUGUCGUCCAGAUCCUGUGCCAUAUGCAUGUCCGGAUCCUGUGCCAUAGGGAUGUCCGGCAUGUCCGGUAGCAUUGCGGCGUUCUUGCCAUGGCACGGCGCCGGCACGACUGGCAGUCUUGUCUGUGGGGUGUUGUCCCCCGCCCCCAAACAAAUCUGGCUCUUCGGACAAAGCAGGGGCCAGCUUAGGCAGGCGCCGAGGGUCAUCAGAUCUUUUCGUCGGCCCCGGCGGGUUGAAUCAGAGGUAACAACUCGGGUGGCAUCGGUUUACCAUGGAACACGGGGUUGCCCGGUUGAACGUUAUUGCCCUUGGCGACAUCGACCAACUCGUCGUUCACGAAGUGCAGGAGAGUGCACGGAAUGUCGGCAGCGCCCUGCGAAAACAUGUAGGGCGUCAGGGAUGCCAAGUCAAAGGCAAAAGGAGAUGAAGUCCUCAGCCGAGAGGCUUAAUUAUUUACCGUGAUGAUGGCGUCGACCUCGGCUAAUGUCGAGGCACCGCCAACGGCGCGCGUGCAACUGACGGAGAGGCCGCUUGCUGGCGAGGUGCUGGCCGGCGUACACCCGGGUGCAUUAAGCUCCAAUGCCUAUGCCGGCGCCGGAGACACCAAUACCGCCGCCACUGAUGACACCAAUGGCGCCGCCAGAGACACCAAUGGCGUCGCCUGCGCGUUGUGCGAGUUGCUGGCCGUCAAGCUGGGAAUCGGGGGCGGCCCCUAUUGGCCACCCGCAAUCCACGUCGUCAGCCCAUGUAUCAAGGUAGGAAUAAUGCCGGUGAGCGUCGUCCCCAGUUGUACUUGCACUUGCUCUUGGAUAAUCUCCGGAAUCAGCUCCACUUGUGCCUUGAGUUCUUCAACCUCGCGCAACUGGCUUUCCGAGCUGGUCUUCUUCUCCUUUCGCCCACCAGCGGUAUAGUAUGACGACCAUUUUGUGGACAAGCCUUUGCCGGCCACACGACCUGCUGACGUUGGCUUACUGAGCUUAUCCUUGUUUUUCAUUAUGUUCAACGCCCUAUUUAGAGUGUUUUCCCAAGCAGGGGUGCUCUGAGACGACCCCGCGCUACUGCUUUCAGUCUCCUUCGCAAGAACAAGCUCAAGCGCCCUGGUCUUCGGAUCCGUGGUAAGCUCCUUUGUUAUCGGGUCCUCCUUGUACCGGGCCCUGACAAAGUUCCUGGUCUUCUUGUCACCGAUGUAUUUCUCGAAGCGGGGCGGUAGGCCUUGCUCGGCACGCUCCGCGUCCUCCUUGUCCCAUAUAGGCUCCGCCACUCUGUAACCGCCAGGACCGAGUUUGUGUUCCCCUAAUUAAGUUCAACUCCCGCAUUUCUUUCCCCCACUGACUUGAUUCGGAGGUUGCACUGCUCUCGCACUUGAUCUUGAACUCCUUGUAGUCAUCUUCGCUGAUCGAAGGAUUUUUCGCCUUGAUCUUCUCAUAACUAUCACCUUUAUCAAUCAUUCUCUUCACCACGCUUCUCCAAGUAGACAGGGCCGUGCUCAUCCUCGUGAGGGCGGCACUGUUCACUUUAUUCCCUGAGAGGCGUGUGUUUCCAAAUUCGGUGGGGAACUUGUAUCGUUCGUGCAACUUCGUGAAGAGGAGGUUGCGCAAAUUCCCUCGGUCCUUAUGCCUAAGGUUCUCGGUGUUGAUCGAGACGGUGCUCCGGAGAAUGCACCCGAGCUAAACCGAGUACCCCUUGACUAUAUGUUUGGGCUCCGUUGGAUGCCCGUCGGAGUCCACUUGAGUAAAUUCCUCCUUGAGGGUGCGGAGCGCAUUCGGGCGCCGGUCCUUCCUUUGUUUCUUCGGUUGGCUGCCAUCUGUGCGUACGCUGCCAUCAUCAGUGGUGGCAUCCUCGGCGGCACCAUCAGUUGUGUCAUCCCCAACGCCACUAGGGGUUGUGUAUUCAGGAUCGGUGUCUUCCACGGCGUCCUCAUAGCGGUGAGGUCGUUCCUCCAUCUCCUAGGACAGCUCCCAGAAUUGCUUGCCGCCCGAAUCGCCGGCCUCAUCGUUGUUGGCCAUGUUUCGCUCUAAAUAGGAAAAAAGUUUGGUCAAAAAGUUGGUUAUUGUCAAGGAACAAGAUCAUGGUCUCAUCAUUUAGGGUUUGUCUACACCGAGGCAUCCUAAAAGCUAAGCUUUUAUCAUUUAGGGUUUGUCCACGCUGAGGCACCCUAAAAGCCUAAGCGUACAUCACUUAGGUUCUCAUCGACACCGAGGCACCCUAUAGAAGCCAAGGUUUCAUCAUUUAGGGUUUGUUGACACCGAGGCACCCUAAAUGCUAAGUUAACUUUUCAUCAUUAAGGGUUUAUCGAUGCUGAGGCACCCUAGGUUGGGCCUAAUCACAUGGCACUAAUCACUUGGCUCUAUUGCCACCUAUGUUGGGUUUAUCAUCUAGGGUUUAUCGAUGCUAAGGAGAAUUCUAAGUUGGGCCUAAUCACUUGGCUCUAUUGCCACCUAUGGUUUAAUGCAGCAAGAAUGGUGGGGUUGUUGAUCCUACUUAACUAAGUACUAAGAUACCCCGGCCCAUGCAUUAGUCGCAAGUACCCCAUAUGUCCUAUUUUUAGCAAAGUCAUGCUAAAAAUUCGCGGAAAAUUUCAGCAUGACCUUUGCUGAAAAUAGGACAUAUGGAGUACCCGAAUUUGCCGGAACAGAAGUUAAUCGACAUUCCGGCAAACUCAAGGGCCUCUCGGGGUACCUGCAAAAUAAUUAUCCCCGCGUAAUGAAUUCGCCAAUGGGUCAUUUCAGAAGAUCACAAGUAGCAUCAUCACAAGUACAGCAGCAGCAGAAGUGAAUACAAGCAUAACAGCAGCAACAGCAGGUUUAUUCUUCUUCUUCAUAAACAUUAAUUGGUGUAGGUGACUCUAUCUACCCUCUAAUGACUCACUCAACUUAACAGCACAACCCACAAGCAUUGUUUUGAUUCCAACAGCUGCUGUAAAAUACAUCCAGCAAAGGUGCUCUAAAAUCAGAAAUACUACCCCCCAAAUCUUUAGCUCAAUUCUGAAAACACAUGGUCUUCUAGUUACAAUACUACCCCCAACAGUCAAAAUUUCAAACCACACACUUACUUUCAACUAUAAACAAAACUGACUUGCUGAUAAUGAACAUUGGCUAAAGAUAUAUAAAACUCCAUUGCAAAUGUGCCAUGUCAAUAAAACAACUCAUGGAAGUAAACUACUAGCAGGCUCAAAAGUCAAGUAAACUGAAGAUUAUGACAGCUUGCAAACACAGGACCAUGUCAUUAUCAUGGCAGUCCACUAUAUAUUUUUAUGACAAAAUACAUCAUUAUCAGGGAACAUUAUGGACAUUUUCUUACAUGAUGCUAACUGUACCUAACUGAACAUAUUUCUCACCUUGGAGGUGUUGCUGCUGCUGCACUGUCUGAACUUCACUUCCUUUACCUCCUUGGAAACCUGAAAUAUGCAGAUGUUAGAAAGGUUCUAAUUUUUAUAUGAUGAUUCUAAUAAACUGUCUAGAACAUCACAGCAUGCACAGUAAUAAGAAUAAUGUAAACAUUUGGCUUAGUUAUAAGCAUAGUAUACUUCUUAUAAACUGAAAGUGGAACUACUCACAAUGAAGAAGUAUUAGCAGAUAGUUUGUCAACUCAUGAAAUAACAUUUUUUCAGCCCAAAAUGGAUGCCAUUUCAUAACAUUGCAUAGCAUUAGUCAGACAGAGCUGAGCCUUUCACCACUAUAUAAUAUUGCCAUAUAAAAUUACAAAUUUAUGUAACUAGAAUUUUUUUUGUAUGAAACCUAGUCAAUGUGACAAUAUACAAACUACUGAUCUACUAGUUAUCAAGUUGAGAAAUUGACCGCAUAUAAGCAAAAGCAGUAUCCUACUGAUCCUACUUAACUAACUACUGAUCUACUGAUCUACUAGUUACUAGCUUGCAGCAUUAUGUCCUCUGGCACCAAGUUUCUGAUGCAAACCACUCUCUCAUUAUGGUUUUCUGCACAAGAAUGACAUUGCUUAAGAAUAACACUCAGAAUAUAAGCAACUACAGCCACGAGUCCAUGAAAAAUAACAAGGAUGAUGCAUUAACCGUGUCUUGCUGACAUGUGGGCGGGUCCUGUCAGUGAGAUUCAAAUCUCUAGGGUGUGCAUUUAUGAAAAAUCUCCUAUUAACAAACACAAAGCAACAGAAAAACAGAAUCUGGAUGGGUGUUUGGUUUGAGGAGCAACCUGCUCCUGCAAUCAUCAGAUGCUAUAAGAUCAGUGUGGUUAGUGCAAUGAAAUAGAAUUAUCCUUUGGCUAAACACUGAAGUGAAAGAAAAUAUUUAAAGUUGUGAAAUGCAUUCUAUAGAACUUGUUAAAUGAGCCUGUUCCCCCACAAAAUCUUUUGCAUGUCUUAUCCCACCGGAGGUGGAUGGUACUUGUCCUAGAGCAAAGUGCACCCUCAAACAAAGCAAAUCAACACGUUUCGCUUCAAAAGAUUUAUUCACACAAAUUAACCAUGUCAUUCUUAAACCUUGGACUGUUGAGUGUGUCAAAUUCAUCACAAGUAUUUAAACACUUAUGAACCCUAGAACACUUAUGAACCCUAGAACACUUGCUGUCCAAAACUGAACAGCAGCAAAAACAGUUGAAGAGAGGCUCACGUAGGAGGGCGUAGGAGGGCGCCAGCGUCGAGGAGGCAGCGGGCGGCGGCGCGUCGAGGAGGAGGCGGCGCGUCGAGGAGGAGGCGGCACGUCGAGGAGGAGGUGGUGCGUCGAGGAGGAGGAGGCAUGUCGAGGAGGAGGCGGCGCAUCGAGGAGGAUGCGGCGUCUCGACGGACGUACAGGCGCGGUAGACGGAGGGGAUGGAGGGGACGGAGGGGGCGGUACUCGNNNNNNNNNNNNNNNNNNNNNNNNNNNNNNNNNNNNNNNNNNNNNNNNNNNNNNNNNNNNNNNNNNNNNNNNNNNNNNNNNNNNNNNNNNNNNNNNNNNNNNNNNNNNNNNNNNNNNNNNNNNNNNNNNNNNNNNNNNNNNNNNNNNNNNNNNNNNNNNNNNNNNNNNNNNNNNNNNNNNNNNNNNNNNNNNNNNNNNNNNNNNNNNNNNNNNNNNNNNNNNNNNNNNNNNNNNNNNNNNNNNNNNNNNNNNNNNNNNNNNNNNNNNNNNNNNNNNNNNNNNNNNNNNNNNNNNNNNNNNNNNNNNNNNNNNNNNNNNNNNNNNNNNNNNNNNNNNNNNNNNNNNNNNNNNNNNNNNNNNNNNNNNNNNNNNNNNNNNNNNNNNNNNNNNNNNNNNNNNNNNNNNNNNNNNNNNNNNNNNNNNNNNNNNNNNNNNNNNNNNNNNNNNNNNNNNNNNNNNNNNNNNNNNNNNNNNNNNNNNNNNNNNNNNNNNNNNNNNNNNNNNNNNNNNNNNNNNNNNNNNNNNNNNNNNNNNNNNNNNNNNNNNNNNNNNNNNNNNNNNNNNNNNNNNNNNNNNNNNNNNNNNNNNNNNNNNNNNNNNNNNNNNNNNNNNNNNNNNNNNNNNNNNNNNNNNNNNNNNNNNNNNNNNNNNNNNNNNNNNNNNNNNNNNNNNNNNNNNNNNNNNNNNNNNNNNNNNNNNNNNNNNNNNNNNNNNNGGGGGAUGGUGCGGUGGGUCGUCGGCGGCGGUGGAGUGGGGGAGGGUGCGGGGGGUCAGCGGCAGCUGCCGGUGGAGCGGGGGAGAUGGUGCGGGGGGUGCUCGGCGGCGAGGGGGACCGAAUCUGGCGAGGUGAGAUAGCGAUGGAGAUCGAGGGGGAUCGAGAUCGAGUGUCCAUGAAAUUUAAAAACCUUCAUGAGUUCAAAAAGUGCCCAUGAAAUACAAUCGAGAAAUGAAGGCUACAAUUUAAAUACAAUUGAUCCUAGCUAGCUAUCUGUUCACAAUCUUCUUGCCCUUAUUUUUCAUAAAUGGAGUUCUUCUCUUGAACGGACGUCCUUUAGGUAGGGUGGUCUUGCUUCUUCUUCUGGUGUAUGCUGAUACUUCAUCGUCGUCAUCAUGUUCCAUCUUCGGGUCGCCAUACUUGUCGAAGUCUUGCUCAUUGGCGAGUCCAUCCAUUCCGAUGAUCUUCCUUUUGCCUCUCCUCAUGACAACACGACUGGGCUUUGGUGGGUCGGUAAUGAAGAAACAUUGGUCCACUUGGGAAGCCAGUACCCAUGGCUCAUUUUUCGCAGUGAAGUUUGCGCCCGUGGUCUUGGAUUUGGCUUCGGGUAUAACCAUGGUGGUGAAAUACCGGUCUUCUUUUAUGACGCUCUUGGCCCACCUGACACGGAACAUCGGGACCUUAUCUCCUCGAUCCUUCCGUAGUAUCUGUCCUUGUCGUUACCAGUGCAGGAUUCCAUCGUUACCCCGGAGUUAUGAUAACCAUCGCUCUUCAUGUCCUUGUCGUCGGUGUAGAAUGUGUAGUCGUUGAUAUCGUAUGCCUCAUAGGUCAUCAGGUUGUGCUCGGCGCCCUCUGACAAGGCGAAUAUGAGUUGUUCUUCCGCGGAAGAAUUCUCAUGUAAAGGGUACGACAGAAGCUUUUGCUUGAACCAACGCGUGAAACAUGAGUUGUGCUCUUUGAUUAUAUCUCCGUCCGUCCUCUGUUGACCUCGGUCAUUGUACGUCUUCACAAUAAAGGUUUUGUGCUCUACCACCCAAGGAUCGACCAUGUCUAUGUGUUGUAGCGCGACUAGGUUUGCUCUUUCAAAGUCGGCGAGUCGACCCUCGAAGUCGACAUGCAUUUAGCGGCGACCCUCACGCUGACCCCAUCCAGUGAGCCUGCCGAGGUGCCUGUUGACGGGCCGACCAACGGGGUCCUCGAUGCCUAGAUAAUUCGUGCAGUAGGAGAUGCACUCUUCGGUCAGAAAGCCCCUGACUAUGCUUCCUUCUGGACGUGACAUGUUGCAAACGUAUCCUUUGACGACACCAUUCAUCCUUUCGAACGACAUCAUGCUGUGCAGGAACGUCGACCUGAGUUGGAUGAUAUCCUCCAUGAUAUGGACCAGCAGAUGCACCAUAACAUCGAAGAAUGCGGGUGGGAAGUACAUCUCAAGCUCGCAUAGUAUCACCACGAUCUCUUCCUCGUAGCCUUCUGAGUUGCCUCACGCCAACCGACUUCCGAGAGCUGACGUCGAAAAAGUUAAAUAGGCCAAAUAGCGUUUCACAGACAUGCGCGUCCAUGAUCCCACGGAUUGCAUUUGGAAGUAUCUGCGUCAUCAGCACGUGACAGUCGUGAGACUUCAUCCCGCUGAACUUCUGCUUCACUGGGUCUAGGUAUCUGCUUAUCUUCCCCUCAUAACCGUAAGGAAGUUUUACUCCUACGAGGCAGGUGAAAAACUGAUCGAUCUCCUCCUAACUUAGAGUGAAGCAUGCGGGAGGGUAGUCAUUUCCGGUCUUCUUGGCCUUUUUGCCUUUGCGACGACUUUCCGUGUCGUGCUUCGCCUCAUCAUCAUCAUGAUCAUUAGCGUGAAGCUCCUCCCUGAUGCCCAUUGAUUUCAAGUCUGCCCUUGCUUUCGGCCCAUCUUUGGUCCUCUUUGGCAUGUUGAGCAGGGUACCAAGCAGACUCUCGCACACAUUCUUCGUGAUAUGCAUGACAUCAAGGCUGUGAGGCACAAAGUGGAUCUUCCAGUACGGCAAGUCCCAGAAAACAGACCUCGUUUUCCAUACCUUCAGCAGCGGCUCUGGGGCCUUUCGCUUCUUUCCCGGCUCUGGUGCCUUUUGCUUCUUUCCCGGCAGUGGGCAAUCUUUCCAAUUUUUCAAUAGCUGGUCUAUUUCCUCGCCGCUCCUCGUACGCGGGCGUCUUCGGGGUUCGGUUUCACCAUCGAACAGAUCCUUGCGUUUCCUCCACGGGUUAUCCUCACGAAGCCACCUUCGAUGUCCCAUGAACACAAUUUUCGAAGACCCGGGAUCUCUAUCUAGCUGGCGAUACGUUGUGUCAUCCAUGCACCUGACGCAUCCAGAAAAUCCGUGGACCACCUGCCCUGCGAGAUAUCCGUAACCGAGAUAGUCGUGCACCGUCAUGAGCAGUGCGACUCUCAUAGGGAAAUAUUCUUUCUGUGCGGCGUCCCACGUAUUGGCUGGCGUUUUCCACAGCGUGUCUAGCUCCUCUUUCAGCAGCCCUAGAUACAGAUUGAUGUCGUUCCCUGGUUGUUUCGGCCCUUCAAUUAGCAUACUCAUGUGAAUGUACUUCCUCUUCAUGCACAACCAGGGGGGAAGGUUGUACAUCCACACAAACACAGGCCAGGUGCUAUGUGUGCUUCUCUGGCUGCCAAACGGAUUGACUCCAUCGUUGCUCAUGCCCAGCACGAUGUUCCUUGGAUCCUUCCCAAUUUCUGGGUGUUCGAAGUUCAACGCUUGCCACUGGCUCCCAUCCCUAGGGUGACUCAGUAUAUUGUCUUUUUUAUUUAUCUCCAGAUCAUUUGCGUCAUCUUCUCGCUUCUUCUCCUCCCUAUCAGCGUGCCAACGCAGGAGCUUUGCUACCUUAGGGUCCACGAAAUACCGCUGCAGACGAGGAGUGAUCGGAAAGUACCACACCACUUUUCAAGGAGCUUUCUUCCUCUUCUUGUAUCGAGUGAUGCCGCACACCGGACAUAUGGUAGACUUCGCGUGCUCGUCCCGAUAAAUGAUGCAAUUGUUCACGCACACAUAGUAUUUCACGUGCGGUAAAUCCAUAGGACACACGAUUUUCUUUGCCUCCAAGAAACUGGUCGGGCACUUGUUCCCCUUGGGAAGAGUUCGCGCCAGAAUGACAUGUUCUCGUCGAAGCACGCGUCGGUCAUUUUGUGUUUUACCUUCAUCUCCAGAGCCAUGAGCGUUACUUUCAGGCGGGUAUCCUCGGGCCUGCAUCCUUCAUACAAUGGAGUAACCACGUCUAUCUCCAGUUGAUCCAGCUUGGCUUUCUCUCGGGCGGCAGCUCUUGCGUUAUCCGUCUGCUUGAAAAGCAGCUCUUGAACAAGAGGGUCCUGCACCCAGCCCAUCAAUGGUCCAUUGUCGUCUGCUCCGCCGGCAUCUUCGUCUUCAUGAUCAUGCCCUUCGUCUGCUUUGGCAUCUUCCUCAUCAUCACGUCCUGCAUCUUCUACAUGAUGACUGUGUACAUCAUCACCAUCGUGAUCAUGUCCUGGAGAUUCUUCGUCUUCUCGCCCGCCCGAGUCUUGCUCAUUUCUUGCCGCCCAACCCCCAUGGACGACUUCAAAGUCAUCUUCAUCACCUUGUCACCGAUAGCCAUCCAUGAAACCAUGCAAGAGCCGGUGGUCCCGCACCUGCCCGGAAUCCGGGUCCACAAUAAGGCUCUUCAGCUUGCAUCUUCGUCACGGACAUCUUAUCUCCGUCUCGUUCUUCGCGGAGCUCAAAAACCUAUUCACGAUGCCUUCGGUCAUCGUGCGGACCAAUGUCGCCUGCGGGGUAGAGCAAAAUGAUAUUUUAGAACCAAGAAAUUUUUUGGCAUGGCUUUCCGUAUAAAUAGGACCAAAAAGAAUGCAUAGUGCCAAAAUUCUCGCCGAAACGGAAAUAAAUCAACAUUCCGGCAAAAUAUUGGCAACUAUCGCAUUUCAAAUACCGGUACCUGCAAACACAAACAUAUAUGCAACACCACAAACAUAUGCAACACCACGAACAUACAUAGAUCUAGCUAUAGGCCACAAAAAGUGCAUGUGCACGUUGUUGGAGAGGGAGAACAACAUAAAGAUAGCUUCCCCCUUACUUACCUAUCAAAAAAAGGUUAUUUAACCACUUAAUUUGGAUGAAUCUAUGGUGCAAAUGAGGUGAGGAGGAGGAGGCAGCCGAGACAAGCUUGGAGGAGGAGGUGGAGAGAAUGAAGUGGGGAAAGUGAGUAGGUAGGUGGGCUAGUCCAAAAUAUCUUGUUGGUCCCAGGUUACUAAUGGCGCACCACCUGCAAAUGCGCCAUUAGUAACCCUGGUUACUAAUGGCGCACCUACUGCUGGUGCACCAUUAGAAGUUUUGCAAAAAAAAAGUAUAUAUUCUAAUGGCGCAAGGCGGCACAAUGCGCCAUUACCUUGUUUAAACUAGUAAUGGCGCACCCUGCCAAGAUGCGCCAUUAGAAUCUUUGGAAAAAUAAGAAAAAAAAAGUUUGACACUAAUGGCGCACCAUGCACAUGGUGCGCCACUGCUACAUAGUAGUGGCGCACCACAUGUCAGGUGCGCCAUUAGUGGCCAUUCCAUCUAUAGCCCUUUUUGUAGUAGUGUUGACAACUAACUCUAUAAUGCCACUAAGACUUGAACACUAUUGUUUUGUACUAUUUUCGACUUAAUAAUGCAUCUUGGUGCCAUGGUGGUAGUAUAUUUUAGAUUCGGAUCAUGGCAUACACAAGGAUCAUCUAUCGAUUAUUAAUUAAGUGCUAAAGUAUGUGGUGGCAAUAUAUGGACCUAGCUGGGUUGAGAUUUGCUACAUGUAGGGGAGUACGACAACAUCAGUUGUAUCAUGCAUGAUGAGAUAGAGCUUACAGAAACUUGUAUUAUCAAGCGUCUACUUUUGAAAUAUACAUAAAAAGGAAGUAAAACUUGUAGGAAAAAUUAUUGGUUGGUCAAAUAAUUUCAUUCUUCUGGAAUGUAUGACCAUAUUAAUAAUGAAGUACUUGACUAGACUAACGCUUCUACUGAACCCUCUCAGGUAAACGCCAUGAUGGUGUUGCAUCUACCCUUAUAUGCUUAUGUCUGGAACACAUGCUCUGCUUUUGGAUUUAUCUCUAUAAAAAAUACACUAUUCGAGGAAUCGUCAGAGUUUUCCCCGUGUUUAAUGUUUAUACUGAAAUUUGUAAUUUUGAUUAGCAGUAUAAGGGUCGGUAAAAUGCCAUUCAAGAUAUGAAUAGACGGUAAUGCACCAGGCGCUCUCAUAGAUGUGUAAUUUAUGAUCUUAAGAUGCUCUAUGCGCUCGUGGUAGUUUGGUUAAAUAAAAUUAGCCAUGAGUUUAUGGAAAAUUAGUUGUUAGCUGGUUUUUAGUAAAAUCGGUUUUGCUAGCAGUUUUGUGAAUAAUCAGUAUAGGAAAAAUAGUGUUUAGGAUUAGGAAACUGUAAAGAUGGACAUGUGAUUUGCUUGUUUGGAUAAAAUUCCAUAUUCCUCUCUCUGUGAGUUGUGGAAUGAGGAUGGCAAGAAAAAGGUUUGGGUCGUGAGGAAGUUAGUUAGGAUCCCGUAUUGCAAAAUCGCGUUUUUGAAAAAAAAGUAGUUUCUCUACAAAUGUGAAAUCCUGAAUUUACUUGAAAAAAGGUCUUCAUAUACGCGGGUUAGUUAGAAUAGCCCAGAAAGAUUCUAUUUGGUAAGACAGUUUUUCAAGUUUAUAGGACUUGUGUUUUGUAUAUACUAUCUAUCCUAUCAACCCUAGCUAAGUUGUGAACUCUAUAUUGCCAUCAAUACUUGAACGUACUACAGUUCUGUCUUGUUUGGACUCCCAACUGAAUCGUGGUAGUUGUACAUUUUGUACUCAGUGCAUGUCACACACACCAUGAUUAUCUACUCAUUGUUAAGUGCUAGGUAUGUGUUGGCAAGAUAUCCAACUAUUUGGCUUGAUAUCGGGCACAUGCAGGGCAGUACUCCAAAGUCAACUCUAAAUCAUGAUGGGAUCAAGCAUACAUAAACAAGUAAAUGUUCGUAUGAAAGUCCAGUAUCAACUAUGAGAUCAUGAAUGGCCAACUGGAGGGGCUAAUUUAUGAGUGCAUGUUGCGGCUCAAAGCUCUAUAAAUAGGAUCUGAACCCGGUGGAUUCUUGAGCAGAUAACUUGGAGAGGAGAAUAUAUCUUCUUUCUUCAAAUUUUGCAUUCGUUAAAUAUUUCUCACAAAUUUUGCUAAAACUAAUUUUUUUAAUACACAUGAAAUUUCCAUGUAACAAUUUGCGUAAAACAUCAUCUACACAACUAAUGAAUCAACUGGGAUGCAACAUGCAUAUAUCUAAUUAGCUCGUGGUAAUUGUUUAAAUAUGUCAAGUUGAAUCAAUGAUAAAUAAAAAACAAAAUAAGAAAUUAGUUAUAAAAUAUUUCAAUAUUAAUUAAUGUGGAUGACAGGCAUAAUGUAACCAUGACUCCUGACAGGUAGGUAGAACAAACGGCAGGGUUGAUUUUAUAUCCGUGUGUUGCUUCCGAUAAUUUAUCUGUCGGCAAACAGAAAGAACAAUGAUAGAUCAAACUUUGUGCUUUUGGUUAGCAGCAUACGCGAAACACAGUUGAAGAACUGUAAUGAUCCCCCGCAAAAAAAAGAACUGUAAUGGUGGUAUGCCAUGAGAUGCUUUCCUACGUGAGUAAUUUAUGAUCUCGAGAUGCCCUUUACACACUUACCUAAGUUGACAACUAACUCUAUAAUGCCAUUAAUACUUGAACACUAUUGUUUUGUACUAUUUUCGACUUAAUAAUGCAUCUUGGUGCCAUGGUGGUAGUAUAUUUUAGACUCGGAUUAUGGCAUACACAAGGAUCAUCUAUCGAUUAUUAAUUAAGUGCUAAAGUAUGUGGUGGCAAUAUAUGGACCUACCUGGCUUGACAUUUGCUACAUGCAGGGGAGUACGACAACAUCAAUUUGUAUCAUGCAUGAUGAGAUUGAGCUUCCAGAAACUUGUAUUAUCAAGCGUCUACUUUUGAAAUAUACAUAAAAAGGAAGUAAAACUUGUAGGAAAAAUUAUUGGCUGGUCAAAUAAUUUCAUUCUUCUGGAAUGUAUGACCAUAUUAAUAAUGAAGUACUUGAUUAGACUAACGCUUCUACUGAACCCUCUCGGGUAAACGCCAUGAUGGUGUUGCAUCUACCCUUAUAUGCUUAUGUCUAGAACACACGCUCUGCUUUUGGAUUUAUCUCUAUAAAAAAUACACUAUUCGAGGAAUUGUCAGAGUUUUCCCCGGGUUUAAAGUUUAUACAGAAAUUUGUAAUUUUUAUUAGCAGUAUAAGGGUCGGUAAAAUGCCAUUCAAGAUAUGAAUUGACGGUAACGCGCCAGGCGCUCUCAUAGGUGUGUAAUUUAUCAUCUUAAGAUGCUCUAUGCGCUCGUGGUUGUUUGGUUAAAUAAUAUUAGCCAUGAGUUUAUGGAAAAUUAGUUGUUAGCCGGUUUUUUAGUAAAAUCCAUUUUGCUAGCAGUUUUGUGAAUAACCAGUAUAGGAAAAAUAGUGUUUGGGAUUAGCAAACUGUAAAGAUGGACAUGCGAUUUACUUGUUUGGAAAAAAUUCCAUAUUGCUCUCUCCGUGAGUUGUGGAAGGAGGAUGUCAAGAAAAAAGUUUGGGGCGUAAGGAAGUUAGUUGGAUCCCGUAUUGCUAAAUCGCGUUUAAAAAAAACAAAUAGUAGUUUCUGUACAAAGGUGAAAUCCUGAGUUUACUUGAAAAAAGGUCUUCAUAUACGCAGGUUAGUUAGAAUAGCCAAGAAAGAUUCUAUUUGGUUAGACAGUUUUUCAAGUUUAUAGGAAUUGUGUUUUGUAUAUACUAUCUAUCCUAUCAACCCUGGCUAAGUUGUGAACUCUAUAACGCCAUCAAUACUUGAACGUCCUACAGUUCUGUCUUGUUUGGACUCCCGACCGAAUCAUGGUAGUUGUACAUUUUGUACUCAGUGCAUGUCACGCACACCAUGAUUAUCUACUCAUUGUUAAGUGCUAGGUAUGUGUUGGCAAGAUAUCCAACUAGUUGGCUUGAUAUCGGGCACAUGCAGGGCAGUACUCCAAAGUCAACUAUAAAUCAUGAUGGGAUCAAGCUUACAUAAACAAGUAUUAUCAUGCAUGUUCGUAUGAAAUUCCAGUAUCAGCUAUGAGAUCAUGAAUGGCAAACUGGAGGGGCUAAUUUAUGAGUGUGUGUGCUUAUAAGUAGGAUCUCUAGCUAGCUAGUACUCACAUCAACACAACCACGAAAAAAAAAACUUCCAUUUUUCUAGAUAGAGCUUUGAGCCGCAACAUCCGCCUUCCGCUCUUGCAAUGGCUUCCAGCUCCGUGCUUAAGAUGGUCGCCGUUUUCAUGCUGGCCCUAUUCGCCGGCCAGGCGCUGAUGGCUACGCCGGUGAUGGCAGAAGAACUAGGUAACCGACACAACCUUUUGGAGAAGUAUGAUGAGACGCAAUGUCGCGGAUACGCCACAUGCAAUAUAGUAUGCUUCUACCAAGUUUUUCGAGUCUGCAUCGUCUACAGCCCUGUUGCAUUCUGCAACACUUGGGCGUUUGGGUUCUGCAAGGACAAGAGAUAUUGAGGCAUAAAUGGCAGUGCAGCUCCUUUUGGGAUGCAUGCACAACUACACGAGCAACUCACCUCAUCAGUGUCAACUAUUGUUCCUUGGUUAUUGGCGUUGUGGGUUGUAAGAGUCCUAAUAUGUUCCUCCCUUUAUUUCCAGCUAUCAUGUAUGAGGGGCUUAACCAACUAUUUAAUUCCUUCAUUGUCUGUUAUCAUGGUACUUGUUCAACUAAAAAUCCCCCGUCGGAUACAAAUGUAUGUGUCGUGUGAUUAUAAAAUUGUUCCGCCGCUGCAACAUUUUUCUGUCCAUGAUGGCCAUAUAAGCAUGCUCUUU